Molecule: long non-coding RNA, 54886 nt
Filed under: Citrus sinensis (sweet orange)
Lineage: Eukaryota; Viridiplantae; Streptophyta; Magnoliopsida; Sapindales; Rutaceae
Description: long non-coding RNA (CSIN_LNC000453)
Source: RNAcentral
AUUUCCGUUGUAACAAUCAUUAAAAACAAUGAAAACAAAAUUUGUCAAGAAUUAUAGAAUCCAUUCAUCUAAUCAAAAGAAAUUGACCGAGCGACAUAGCAAACACUAAAUAUAAUUAUAGAACUGAACUAAGCUAACGUGAUUAAAUUACACUAAUAAAAUUAUAAAUAGAUUUCAUUAUGAACCAAAUGACUUAAUAAAGAUUUUUAUAAUGCUUUAAAUAAGAUUAUAUAACACUUUAAUUCAAACAACUCUUAAAGAGAGAUUUUGAUAUAUAAUUGUAAAUGAAUUAUAAAAGAAGGAUUUUUAUUAAUCCAAAACCUCCCUAUUUAUAAUAGAGUAGAAUUACUUUCAUAAGUGAAUUUAAAGGAAAACUAAAUGACAAUUAUAUUAGAAAUAAAAGAUUAAAACACAUACAAUAAUUGAUUGGAAUUAAAAAAAUAUAUACAUUAAUGGGCCUAAAUUAACAAAAUCCUAAAAUAACGUCUUACAUCCUAAUUGUAUUGGACAAGUUGCUUAGCACAAAGCAAAGGAUCGUACAAUGGUAGUUCCGCCAAGAACUUCAUGUAUUCUGAACACAACAUGCAGGACAGUAAUAUGAUAUAUAUAGUGCUUUAGAUGGCUUUUCUACUUUAAUUACAAGCAUGCAGAAAGCUCAAAACAGCAACUGAAGCACUCAAAUAAAGCAAGGGCAGUACAAUUGAGCAUUGGUUAUCCAUAGAAGAACAAGUCCGGAUAAAGCACUUGUAACGGACGUAAUAAGCAGCCUUUAAUUACAUUUCUGUGGCAUCCCAUGACUUUGUUUCCUCGAGUUAUAUUCUCAGCUGCACUUUUGGCCUCUUUAACAGGUCAACUUUGUUCAAUCCCUGGUCUGAUGAAUUUUGAAGGAACAGGUUAACGAGAGGAACAUACGAUGUUAUCGUCAAUUAAAAGUGCUCACAACUACUUAAGAGCAACGACGAGUAUGUUCUUUAAAUACCAAAUUUACUCCCAAGAUUUUGCACAUGCUCCUUACUCCUACAGUGUCGACGUGAUGCUGAAAGCUCCGAAUUCAAUCACAUAUUGGGCUCCGCAAUGGAAUACCCGCAAUCACUUUUAAACAGUUUUAUUGUCACUCGUGGUGAUAAGAGCUUACCACUGGUAUUAACUUCUUUCAAUGCCGAUUGAACUGUCAAGGUAGAGAGGCCCACGUCUCUGUUCAUACAUUGUGGAUUUCCAUCCAACAAUCUUAUUUCUAGCGAUCCACAUAUGGGCCCAAAGGGCCUGUUAAAUUCAAUCAGAGUUGUAAGCUUUCGUAUGUUAGCAAGUCCUCAUUUGACAGGUCUUGCUUACGAAGCAAUAGAAUAUAUUCCACUUAAAAACAAUGCCGGAGUGAUACUGUGGUUCUAAACACAUCUCAUUAAAAUCUGAUUACACCCCUUUUAAUGAAAAUAAAUCUGGUUGGGAAUAUUAGGCGUGCACCUUUCUUUUUCUUUUUUUUUGGUUUCAAACCUCAAAUCUUGGAUUUUCCACCUCAGAUAUGUCACUAAUUGAACUAACACCCACAAUAGUGCAUGAAGCUUCACUUAACAAGGUUUUGUGGUUGAGAGAUGCUCUAUGCAAUGAUGGAUUGUUCUUCUUUCAGGAAAGGGUGUGAUGAGGAUAUUUUGGUAGUCAAAUUAUUGAUAGAGGUUAUAUUAAAUUAAGAAGAGAGUAAGUUUUAACACUAAUGGGGAAUAUAAUGACCCUUUCUACUUAAGAAAGACAUUAAGAUAGAAUAGAAAGGAGCGGAAGCUCUGCAGAGAAAGCAAAGAGCGAUGCAUAAAUAAAACCAGAAUGAAAUAGAUAGCUGGGAAAACUAUUAGCAUCCUUAUUGAGGAGGUUUCUAAUCUCUACUGGUAGACAGGACCAACUAGUGAAGUCUUGACAUCCACACUGUUGUUUUCUCAAUAAGUGUGAGAGAAACAAAAAUUCACAGCAUAUACAAGAUGACGACAAUUGUACCUAACGAUUAUCCAACAUCUAGAAGGGAUCCAAAUGGGGAUUAGAAAGGAGCAAAAUCACCAGCGUAGAAUCACAUUAAGUCAUAAAUUCUUCCAACCAUUAACGAAGGCAUGCUCCAUUACCAAAACCGCAACCAUGACCUAUAUGCAUACAGAGCUGUUUGGAUACCGAGGGACAUACCAGAUAAGGCCAACAUAAGAGCCACGAUAACAAUGGAAAACAACGCCACAAGUUGCAUGAUCGGGGUUAACUUUAGAUAAAGCAUCAUAAAGGGGCACGAUAAUUACUGGUUUUGAAAUGAAGGAAUUGAAUUUGUUCACUGGAAAUAAUAAGGAUUUAUAUAGUACCAGUAAGAAGAUACGGAACCCCUUAUGCCAACGAAAAACAGACCAAAGUACUUGUGCGGUAGUUAAUUUGUUACUUUUAACCAGAUAUCAUAAAGCCUACAAUGUGUCUUUAGGCUAUAAUAUCCUAUCUAUCAAUUCCUCUGCUAUAUUAUUAAAUCAUUAGUUGAAAAAUCUUGUGGAACAAGCCAUCGGUUACUGGAAGGGGAAUGUACCUUUUAAUUUAGCUAUUACGUCACAUUAUCGAAGGUUUAGUAAUUUAUUUAUAUUGCCAUUAUGUUAAUUAUACUUUAGAUUGUUAAUUAUAAUAAAAUAAAGCUCAUUAUGUAAAGUUAAUUACGGAUUACAUACCAACAUGUAAGUUAAUGCUUGUAAUGAACGUGCAAAUGCUUAACCUUCAAUACAAUGUGAUUAAGUUUGGAAUAAAAAGAUAAUUACAUGAUUCAAUUCCUUUCAUUAUUGUAUAUUAUCGUUAAAUCUUCCAAGUGCAUUAAUGUUAUCGUUCCCAAAGACUAAAAAGUAAUUGACUUUAAUUUUUCCAUGGAUAUACAGAUACUGUGCUUAUAAUGAAAUGAAGAUGAUUAACAGGCUCAUAUUACUUUGUGGAAAUGUCAGCAUCUUCUUAUGGAAGUAUUGAGCCACACGUUCAUUUUAGUUAUCAUAUAUAUAAAAACCAAAUAGAUGAUGGGUCCCCAAAAAUGUGUAAGGGAAAUCCAUGGAAAACAUUACUUUAGAAAUAAUUAUAAGAGGAUAUGUGGACACCCUCAUCGAAAUGUAAUGAUUUCAUUAUGCUUUCGUUUAACUUUUGUGAUUAGUUUCAUUUUCAUCUUUUAUAGAAGUGUAAUGAGCUAGGCUACCGUAUACAAGGGAAGAUAAUUGGGAGACCAAUUCAAGUUUCGAUGAAUUUACACAAAGUUACAGUUUCCUUUCUAUCAUUCUUAAUAAUGACUAGAAAUCUUCACCAAGAAUCCAUUAUUAUGCAAUGAUAAUAUUAAUAUGAUUAUCAUUCAAUUUUAAUGGCACAAUUUUUACUUUCAUACGUAUAAUAUAUAAAUUUAUGACAAACCAGGCCAAUUAAGUAAUUUGAUUUUAGAAGUGAAUUCCAAUCUGAAUUACCCAUUUAAUACCAAUAAAGAUGAUGUGCCUAGCGCUAAUGUCAUUCAUGAUACAUACAAGCUAUAAGUCUAAUCGAAGGUUCAAUAAGAAAGUUACUUAAUUGGCUUGGGAAAAGAAAACAAAAAGACAAAAAGUCGGAGGAGAAAAGGGAACGGCAAGAAGUAAAAGAACGGUACCUUUUUGACAAACUAGCACGAACAGAAUUUCUCAUCAAGGCCAUCUUUGUAUGGAGAACAAAAAGAAGGAAUGUCUGUGCAAGGCAAGCAAGAGACCUAUCAAGUCAAUUCAUGAGUGCAAUCAUCAAUGUAAGUUGGACCCCGGCCCCCACUUAAAUCUUAUUCAUGAACACGGUUACACGGGGCAUUCCAAAAACCAAAGUUACCAAAGCAUUACGAAACACCAUCAGCUAUUAUUCUAGCCGCUGGCUAAGAUCCCUCAGUUCACCGGUGGCUAUCAAUGUUGGCCCAUCUUUCUCUCGCAUUCAUGCUUACUGAGAUUUACUGUACGUCAAAUCAUGUAUUCUAUUGUAAUCCUCUACUUUCCAACGUAUAGAUUAUUGUAGAUGGCAAAUCAAUGAACAAAUGACACGCACGCUCUUAAUCAUGCGCCCCGUGAUCUGCAGAGUGGAAACUUCUAUUGUAGAGCGAAGAUACUUAUAUGUGCCAAUUGCUUCACUAUUUUUUUUUCUAUUUUUCCUGAAGUUGGUUCUAGAUUAUUAGAUUUUUGAACUCCUAGUCAUGAUUGAAAAGCUGUGCCGUUCGUUGCUUUGUAUUUUUCCUUUUAUUAAUUACUUUUUCUUUUUGAUAGGUGGCUGUCAGUUGUUCAUCCAUACUCCAAAUGUAAAGAAGUCAUUGAGCCACUCUCUCCAACCAUAAAUUAUUGUUUUCUCGAUGAUGAUAUUAACAUCAAACCCUAGUUAUAUAUCCAAAUAUUUUAAGAAAGAAUUAAUUGUUGGAUUUUAAUACUACCAAUAUCUACAUUUUCAAAUAUUGCUCCCAUUUUUUUAAAUAUGCAUUCGUUGUACACACCAUAUGGUAUAUUAGUUAAUUAGCCAUAUGAUGUAUGAAAAAAUAAUAGAAGCACCAAUACACCAUAUGGUGUAUAAACAAAUUAUAAUAUUAAAAUAUGUGAGUAUCCGCACUAGAAAAUCACCAUAUAUAUGUAUGUAUAUAUGAAUUAAUUAGCCAUAAGAAUUCCACUCAAAUUCACAUUAUGAUCAAUCAUCAUCUCAUAGAGUAAAAUAAUUAACAAUAUAUUUAGAUAAUUAAUUAAGAUACAAACAAAUUUCCAUCAAAUAAGUCUAAAACAUAUAGUAAUUUUCAAUUAUAGCUAGUCUUAUUAGUGAAGCUGUCAUUAGGGAGUCUAGAAAGUGACAUAUAUAUAUAUAUAUUUUAUUGUCAAUGCAACGCAAGGAUUAAUACCUAUAAGGAAGCAAUGAUAGUUUUGCCCCAAGAAAGAAGCUUGUGUUUCACACCUUGGUAUAAAGAGAAAGUAACUCUUAGCAUGCAAUAAUAGUAAAGAGAAAGAAGAGUGAAGGUGAAGCUGAAGAGUUGGGUUAACACACACGCGGGCACAUAUAAUUUAAAUAUAUUGAUUUUCAGUAGAUUAAACGGUGAUAUCUCGGCUCCAACCACCAGAAAUUAUAUUAAGUUAAAAUGCCCUAACAAACAUAAAAUUCUUAUGGGUAAGGUGUUAUUAUUCAUAAAACUCGGUCACAAAGGGAGAGAGAGAGAGAGAGAGUUUGGAGAAGGGUCGAUGUCAAAAGAGUUAAGAUCCUUUGGGGGACCCCAGGAUCUCCUUCUGCUGGUUACGCAAGCUCUGUUUAUCUCCAUUUUCUUUUUUUUAUGUUAAUAUUUAUUUGUAUUUUUGUGUGUAGAAGUUAUUAUUAACACCAUUGUUCACAUAUGUUAUUUUUUUAUUUGGUUUUGUAUUUGAUGAUUUGGGUGGCCGCCCCGGCUUUUAGAGUGAAGAUGUUCAAUGGUGGUGGGACCACGGAUGGGGCGGUCUAAUUAAUAAGUUCAAUGAUGCGUUCCGCCGCUUGAUUGGUGACUAACGGCCGACCACCACCGUCCUACGUGGACUGCGCGUCCACAUCUCUAGCACUUAUUCAGCUCUCUUCUUUUUCACUUUUCAAUUCCUUGUAGCUCCUUCCUCCUUUGUUAACGGAGACUUCAUUUCUGUCCAUCCUCAAUUUCUGUACAGUGCUUGCUUCAUAAUAUUUUUCUACAGUAGCUUCUGCAUAUUUUUUUUUAAGCGAUAGUUCAACAUUUCUCAACUAGUAUCUGAUUGAUUUUAUCCUAAAUAUUAAUGUGACAGUCAUUUUCUAAACGAUUAAUUUAAUAACUAAUAAAAAUUACUUGUUGCUUCAUCAUACCAUCCCAUUAAUGAAUGUUAUCUUCAGAUUGUAAUAGUUAAAAUACUACUUAAAAACUAUAGCAUAACUCACCUCAGUUUUGCAUGGAUAAAGAAAAAAAAAAAGGAAUGGAAUAUAAUAACUCACCUCAGUUUUGCAUGGAUAAAGAUAGUUAAAAUACUACUUAAAAACUAUAGCAUAACUCACCUCAGUUUUGCAUGGAUAAAGAAAAAAAAAAAGGAAUGGAAUAUAUAAUAUCUGACCCCAAAUAAAAUUAAUUAACCUCCAUUUAUGAUGGUGUUAUGAAAAUCCUUUUUCUCUCACUGCAAUUGGUCAAAUCACUUGAAUUAUUAUUUAGAAACAAUUUUUUUUGACAUUAAAUUGAGAGUAUAAUUAGCAUUCAAUUAAACGUAUUAGAAAUUUCUUUCAGUAACAAUUCUGAUAAAAUUACACGUUCUUAAUAUUUAGUAAUGCAACAAUUAUUUAAUACAUAUUCCUGUUGACAAAUUUUGGAAUCCAUCGAUAAAGUUUUAGAUAUAUUUUACCAAAUGUAAAUGUUUUGAUAAAAUAUAAAUUUAUCAUCUCAAAAGCACCUAUAGAUAGAAUUAACUAAUUAAUUUUCAUUAGUCUUUAAGUUGAUGAUUGAUGAUUACUAUUAUCAUUGUUGUUGUUAUACAUGUUUAAUGCAAGUUGAAAUUCUGUUUCCUCAUUUUAUAUUUCAUGGCGUUCGGAAGUGGUUCAAGUCCAAUUAUAAUUUAGACUUUUUGAAAUUAUUCGCAAAGGUAUAGCUACCUCCGUAGUUGACUGGUACAAAAUUAGCAUUAAACUUCAAGUUGGCAUGGGUAUAUUAAAAUUAUGAUAAUUAAGGUGGUCGAGUCGAGUGUCUCUAUAAAGCCUGGCCCCAAAUCAAUUAUUAUAAGUUUCUAACUAAUUUUCAUUUUUUAUGAUUGCAUUCACAUGUUCAAUUGUUCAUAUCUCACCUAACUUUUUAAUUAUUUUCUCAUUUAUUUGGCUCAAUUUUAUUUGCUUCGAAAUAGUACAUUUCAAAAUAAUAAUAUCAUUACUGUACAGAAAGAAAAAAAAAAUUGUUCUAAUUAUGAAACUUAAGAAAAUUCUGCUAACUGAACAACCUUCAUGCAAGCAGACCGUAAUGACAUUCCUCGAAGCGGGAGAGCUGCGGUGGGCCACUUGCAAUUUUGCUCAGAAAAAAUCUUACCUAUAUAUCUUAGCAGGCUUAUUCAAGGUUGCUUUUGAAGAAUCCUUCGCAGGAAAAUGGGAUGUUAUUAUGUUAAAAAGUGAAUUAUGAUAAUUACAAAUUACAGCCUCUAAUAUCACCACCGUGUAGGCCACCCAAAUUUUUUUAAUUUUUAUAAAAUGUAUAUUUACUUAAAAUUACCCAAAUGCAGCGGGAUAUGAUCACAACUUUCAUUAAAAAUAUAUUUUUUUAAUUGAUCACAAAUCCAAUGGAAUAUGUUAAUUGGACUGUCAAAACCUAUCAAUUAAGGUGUUUCGUAAUACUUUACAUCUGAGUUUUGGCAGUUCAAUAUUUUUUUUUCUUUCUCAGUUUUAUUUCAUAGUUAUACCUUUUACUCUAGAGUAACUGUAGCUUAAAAGUUAUAGCACUUCACUUUCAAAAACACCAUUAAUUUAAUAAUUAUUAUUAUUCGACGUGUGUGUGUGUAUAUAUAUAUAUAUAUAUAUAUUAAUACACUAAAUGUUAAAAGGUGAAAGAUAAGAAAAAAAUUCAAUUAAAAAUUAAAAAGUUACCUUGAAUGCAUUUUUGCUUCUCAAAUACAGUUCAAUGAGUAUAUAACAUACGAAAAUUAAUACCAAGGAGCAAUAGUCACCACAUUCUAAACAAAAUUAUAGACAUCACUACAAUUGACAACUCUAAAACGCAUACUUAAAAUUCAACACACGCUAAAAAAUAUAGAUUUGUGUAAUAAUAAAUGAAAUAUCACCCUAUAAUCUCUAAUAUAUUUAAAUAUAUAUAAUUUUAAUAAUAUUUUUAAUUUAACAAAUAUAUAUCUGCUGUACCGUNNNNNNNNNNNNNNNNNNNNNNNNNNNNNNNNNNNNNNNNNNNNNNNNNNNNNNNNNNNNNNNNNNNNNNNNNNNNNNNNNNNNNNNNNNNNNNNNNNNNNNNNNNNNNNNNNNNNNNNNNNNNNNNNNNNNNNNNNNNNNNNNNNNNNNNNNNNNNNNNNNNNNNNNNNNNNNNNNNNNNNNNNNNNNNNNNNNNNNNNNNNNNNNNNNNNNNNNNNNNNNNNNNNNNNNNNNNNNNNNNNNNNGGUAAGAUCGUGAAUUCAGUUGAUGGUGGAUUUGGGGGGCCCUCGUAAUCAAAUGCUGGCCUUAGCAAUAUAUAUUUGUCUUUUGCUUUGUUUAUCUUCUACGUAAAGGACAGUGCCAAUCCACCAAUCAAUGACUGACACGUUUCUCCCACUGUGCUCCUAAAAGUACGUUUUUCUUUUUCUUACUGUUUCUUCUCCAAAAUACUUGUCGAGAUAUCAUUUCGUAUGCCGUAAAUGGGAGACCGCUGCUUCCUCCCAGUCCCAGCAGAUGCCGAUAUUUAGCUGCAAAUAUUUUAUAAUAUGAGUACUUCUUAUUAAAAUGAAAUUGAUAGACAGAACAUAAAAGAAAUUAAAAAUGUUAAAAGGUGAAAGAUAAGAAAAAAAUUCAAUUAAAAAUUAAAAAGUUACCUUGAAUGCAUUUUUGCUUCUCAAAUACAGUUCAAUGAGUAUAUAACAUACGAAAAUUAAUACCAAGGAGCAAUAGUCACCACAUUGUAAACAAAAUUAUAGACAUCACUACAAUUGACAACUCUACAACGCAUACUUAAAAUUUCAUCACACGCCAAAAAAUAUAGAUUUGUGUAUUAAUAAAAAAACAUAACAAUAAAAAAAAUUUCUUAACAUUUUAUCUUUUAAUAAGUGUAAAUAUCUAGUCAAAUAACUCUUUUUUUUUUUCAUAUUUUUCUUAAAGUUUUGGUAUGCGGGGCAAUAGGUUAUUAUGAAAGCAAUAGGGGGUGAGUGCAAUAUAGUGGUUUUUCCAGGAGAAAAUGGCAAUUUAUAGUCAUAUAUUAAGGCUAAAAGGACCUUUUGGUAAAUCAAUAGAAAAAAUUAAAUGGGAAGCCAUACUAGUUUAGCUCGUAUGGGACCAUAUUCAUUUAUUUACUUGAAGUAUUUGAGCAAGGGUUGUAGAAAUUGAGCCCUUUUUUUUUUAUGAAAGACAUAGAAUAGCCGAAGUCUAAAUUAACUUUUUAUUCCUCAUAUUAUCUAUAUUUGAACAAGGCUGAUAAAAAGAAAUAACAAUAACAACAACACGUUCUUUUGAAUGAUAACUAAGAAAGUUUUAAAUAUCUUUUAUAUUUAACGAUUAUAAAUUUAGUGCUGAACUGAUAUAUACUCAGUAUUUUUAUAAUACUGUACCACAUAAAUACAAGAUUAAGAUUAUAAUUAUCUUUACAUUCUUAUGCAAUAAUUAUUAAUUACAUCUUUUUGAAAAAUUAAUAAAAAGGGUGAAUUCAGCACUCAAUUCAAAGCUUACGCAAUUAGUUAGAUCCUCUUGCUAUAUGCAAUUUUUUGUUGAAUUUUUUACGUGUGUAAUUCACAACUUAUAAAGUUAGAAUAAAUUACACAUGUGGCAAUAAUUGAAUAACCAAGAAGAGUGAGGGGUGAAAGAGGUUGAAUUUACCGCGAUGGGAAAUAAGGAAAUUAAGAACGGAAAGGGAAAGGGCGUAUUGUACAGGAAGCGACUGGGGAGUGACGUAAGUGACUGGGGACAACCAUAAACCCAUGCGCAAUCGAGCGGUCCUCACUCCAUCCCUCUCCUUUUAUAAUUUAUAUUCCCUCCAUCUGCUUCUUCUUGACGGAAUUUUCUUCUUUCUCUUUCUUGUUUUCGUAUCCAUUUUCUUCUUCUUCUUCUUCUUCAUUUGGUCUAUCACGAACCAGUCAUUACAUAUAGCCCGGUUCAAGUCGCAGGUAAUUCAGCUUUGACUUGCAUGCAACUUAAACUUCUCAUUUCACAAACAUCUUCAUUCUUGAUUACGGCAUACAUAAACCAGCAUCGUAUCAUUUACAUUCUUUCUCUACUCGGUUGAGUGUUUUUUUUUUUUGGUUUAAAUCUCUUCCAUAUAUUUCGUGUGAGUUUCUGAGAAAUAUAAUUAAGACUUUUUGAAAAUAAGGUUUUUCUUUUUUUUUACUCAUUUUUCAACACGGGUUCGGGUUUCACUUAAUCUUGUUGAGUCAAACAGGCGACCAGAAGAAGACCGUGAUUUGGUAAGAGAUUGUAGGAACACUUGAAUUUUUUUUUUUUUUUUCAAUUCAAUGGCAAAACCCUUGAACCUUCAUUUUUCCUUCAGUCAUUAUCAUCGUUUCACAAAAAACGACUAGCUAGCGACUCACGUCUACAAGCCCCGCUUACGCCUAAAUCUUUUAAUUAUUAGAAUUUUCCUGAUUUUUUUUUUUUCAUUAUGGGAGUACUGUAUAUAUGUAAUUAAUAUCUCUAGCUAGCUCUCUCAUUCUCGGAGUCAGAGCAGCACCAAAUCACUAACACCUUGACAGUACAACCUCACCUCACCAAUUAAUCUUUGACUCACUCAUUAAAACACAAAUACCUUGAUUGACAAAUAAGCUUACCCAAUUUGUGGUGAGCUUGGAGCUCAUUUUUAUGAGCUUACCCUUUUGAGAAAGAAGCACAAACAUUUCUUUCAUUUUGGCUCCGCAUUUUCUCGAAGAAAGAGGCUCAGUGGUGCCACGGAAAUUCUCGACAAACAGACAAAAAUGUCAGAGCCCGUUUCUGCAAUGGGCAACAAGCUCUCCAGGAGGCUCAAGAGUGCUUUUCUUUUACCUUUGUCUCUUUUUAUCAUCCUUUCUUUAGCAUUUGGCAAUUGGCAUGCCUUUGAUUUAAUACAACGGUGUUCUGUUCCUCCUUUUGCCUCCUAAAUCUUAACGUUUUUCUCUUUCAAGAAACGCGUGCUAAAUUCUCAUCACGUCGUCAUCCACCUUACAGUGCUUAUGCGAGCAAUUGUCUUAUAAUUAAGUAUGCGACAACUCAAAUUCCAAACAGAUGAGAUGGAUUUAAUUAUUAUAUUUCAGUAAUUUUCUUCUGAAUUUCUUAAUUAAAGCGUAUUAAGUUAUGCAUAAUUUAUAUUUUCUAAAAAAGUAAGUUUUGUUUGCUUUUGUUUUAAAGCUUAAAACAAUUAAUAUUAAAUUUGUCUCUGGGUAUGUGCUACUGAUGAUUAAUAGAAAAAGUUAUAGAUUAGUUUAUAUUAAUCUAAUAAUUAAUAAUAGGAUUUGAGCGGAAACCCCGUUCUUGAUGCAUCAUUCCUACCAUUCGCCAACAGAAGACAACAUCAUUAGCACAAACCUCUCGUUGUCCGUUUCUAGAGACCUGCGUACAAAGAGAAGAGAGGUUAAGUUUAGUUCCAACUUCCCCCCCUUGGUUUUUAUCAAAAACAAACUCAUCUCAUCAUUUAGUUUUCUUUUCCUUUUCACCUCCUCCUCUUAUCAUUAUUUUUUAAUUUUAUUUUAUUAUCCCUAGAAAAAUCAUUGUGUAUGGGUGAAGGUGAAGUUAAAUGGGUAUUGUUUAUAACACGCGCGUAUUUUGGUAUUUCCUUUCAGAGAUGAAACGGUGAGUGUUGCUCACUACCAAAAAUAAGUUGAUGAUUAUGCCUGAUAACACAUGUCACCUUUUACUCGGAGGCCUCAUUAUUUCUUAAUUGAAUUUUUUACAAUCUCAGCUUUGCCUUUUUAACUUUUUUUCUUUCACUGGUUUUCGAUUUCUCUUCUCUAGCUCUUUACAUGUUCACAUCAGUUCUCUCUUUCUGAGUUCACAUCAGCUAUGAUUUAAAGAUGAUGAAGUAAAUGGUUGCGCGGUUGUUAAUUCUAGUGUUGAAUUUUAUGCAGCACCGAUAACAGAUAUGAUGGAGUCAAUGGAGUCAUAUGUCCCACCAGGAUUCCGGUUUCAUCCGACUGAUGAGGAACUCGUUGGAUAUUAUCUGCGGAAGAAGGUUGCAUCACAGAAGAUCGAUCUUGAUGUUAUCAGAGGCAUUGAUCUGUACAGGAUCGAACCAUGGGAUCUCCAAGGUACGUUUUUGUUUAGCUGUCACUUCUUCUUAUUAGGGUUUCUGUUUGGUGGGUGGAUCCAUUUGACCUUGGUCUUAAUAUUCAAUGAUGCGCAUUGCCUACUUAAGUAGUCAACAGACCAAGGUGUAUGCAGUAGUUAAGUCUUGUGGAGUCAUCAAUUCAGGAAUGACGUCAAGGCUACUGAACUGGAGUGCUUAUGCAAGAGUCACAAUAGUAGAGUAUACAACCAGAAAAUCUAUAUAUAUAUAUAUAUAUAUGUAUUCUGUUUUGACACAUAUAAAUGAUCUGUGCGUAUCGUGAUUAUGAACAGAGAGAUGCCGGAUCGGGUAUGAAGAACAAAAUGAAUGGUACUUCUUCAGCCACAAAGAUAAGAAGUAUCCAACGGGAACAAGGACCAACAGAGCCACCAUGGCUGGGUUCUGGAAGGCUACUGGCCGAGACAAGGCUGUGUAUGAUAAAUCAAAACUCAUUGGCAUGAGGAAGACUCUCGUCUUCUACAAAGGAAGAGCCCCAAAUGGCCAGAAAACUGACUGGAUCAUGCAUGAAUAUAGGCUUGAAUCUGAUGAAAAUGGUCCUCCACAGGUAAUUAAGCAUUAUUCUUCUCUCUCUCUCUCUCUCUCUCUCUCUCUUUCAGUUGCUGAGAUGUUAAAUUAAAAUGAUGAAAUCAAAAUUGUCUUCAUUAUCUUCCACAUGGUGGCCUUGAACAGUACCCCUUGACCUAAUAUGCGCGCGGAACUAUCUCUUUCAACUUUUUGUUUCCAAUUAAAUAAGCGUUCGGAAUUCAUUAGCUAUUAUCAGUUUUUGUAUACAAAUUGCACAGUAACUUUCUUGCAUUAGAUGUCAAGUACGUGCCUCAUAACUUCUCCUUAAUUUGGAACUAAAUUUUAGUCACAUUUAGUUCGGAUUGAAAUUUGUCAAAUUUUAGCUUAAUCAUAGAAAUUAAUGACGCUGCUACUGCUUUGCAUAUUCAUAGACCACUAUCUGCACUUGCCCUAGAAUAUAUGUUUUCUAUAAAUUUGGCCUCUUAUUAAUUAAGGUCAAAAAGUACUAAAUAGUAAUUCUAAAGCACUUUGAAUAGCUUUCUCCCUGUUCCUUUUCGAGCAUGGCUUUCUCUCUUCAUUCAUUUUGUCAAAAGCAAAAUUCCAUUUUUCUUCUUACUCCUAUAUCUACCUACUUCUCUUUUAUCAAACAGUUUGAAAACUCACAAAAGCAAACUGAAAAUAAAUGGACUAAUUAAAAAGAAAUAUCACUUUUUCCUUCCAAAAUAUCAUCUUAAAUAUCUAAAUAGACUUUGUUCAAUUAAAUAUUAUCAGGAAGAAGGAUGGGUUGUUUGCAGAGCAUUCAAGAAGCGAGCCACAGGCCACACCAAGAGCAUUGACGGCUGGGACUCAAGCUACUUUUAUGAUGAACCAAGUGGGGUUAGCUCGGUGGUUGAUCCCAUCGAAUAUGUGUCAAGGCAGCCCCAGAGUCUAUUAGCCCAAAAUUUGAUGUGCAAGCAGGAGAUAGAAGCUGAGAACUUGAGUUUCUUGCAAGCAGCUGAUCAGUAUUUACAGCUACCUCAGCUGGAGAGCCCAUCUCUGCCUAUAUUAAAGAGGCCAAGCUCAAUAUCUCUAACAUCGGAGAAUAGUGCUGAAGAAGAACAGAAUAGAGUGAACAAUAUUAACAACAACAGCAACAACGCUAAUAAGAAAGUGACUGAUUGGAGGGCAUUGGACAAGUUUGUUGCAUCUCAACUGAGUCAAGAAGACAGAUGUGAAGGAGAGUCAAGCUUCGGAGCACACGACGACAAUUCGGACAUGGCAUUGCUGUUGCUGCAAGAAUGGUAGAAAUUAUUAAUGCAGAAUGGAAACGGGUUGAAUGGAUUCUUUUUUCAACCUAGCUCGAUGAAUAUGCAUGCAUGGAUAUUUAACUAGUGAAUGGCGGGAGCCGGAAGAUGAAGAGGUUCUCAUUGUUAGUAUCAUAAAUGUGUUUGAUUUGAUAAUACGGAUACGUACUAUGUUUUUGUAAAAUUAUGGUGCUGGUGAUGAAUGAGUGAAAAACUAAUUUCUCACUCUUACUCUCGCUCUCGCUCUCAAAAUAUAUGCCGGUUUUCAUAUUUGUAUGUGAUGGUAUAAUCUAAGAAUGUAGGUGACGUAGAUAGAAGACUGUGUAUGUGUUGAUACAAGCUGCGCCAUAAUGAUCCUCACCAUAAUUCAUGUAACCUGCUGACUUAAAUUAUCUGACCCUUUAUAUAUAUAUGGAGAGAGAUAUAUAUAUGAGAAUCCUCUCUCAUGACAGUGCCUUCAUUUUUUUUCUCAUGCGGACACACUACUAAAUCAUGUAGUUUAACAGAGUCAGUGCAUACAUAUAAUUAAACCAUAUGACUUUGUAGUAAAUUGAACACUAACUUUAUUAAAUUAUAUGACUUAAUAAUGUAUUCAUAUGUACGCACUUGAAAAUUAACAUUUCUACAAGAUAUCACUCUUUGUAAAUUUGAAGGCUUCAUGGGUUUGUAAAGUAAACCUCCCACGAUAAUCGGUUUUUGUGAAAUAUUUAGCUUGUAAAUUAAUGAAUAACAUGUGAGUGAUGCAAGAGAUUUAUGGCCAUUUAGGAUAAUAAGGUUGAUAAGAGUUUAAUUAUUUUUAAAUCAUUUGAAAAUAAAUAUUUUUUUUCAAAAAAAAAAAGAAUUUCCUUCAUUUUAUUAAUUAAGUGAAUGAAUUGAGUGGUAGAGAGUUUACUUACCUAACCGGUGGUAGUUACUUAUUUUCAUUACAUAUAUACACAUACACAUAUACAUUCGAAGCUAAAUGUAAUUUUAUUCUCAUGUUUAUGGUUUUUAAGGCAAACACUAAGUAAGAGAUACUUUAUUAAAUAAUGAUAUAUAUAUUGUUUUGUAGUGUAUUUUAAUAAAGUAAGGGAUCUUUUAGCAACAAGUUAAUUUCGAAAAUUACAAAAUAACCAAGAAAACAUAUUCUCUACACAGGUUGCAUCCGCUAAAUAUUGAAAUAUAUUGUAAUUAGCUAGGAUCAUAAGUGUGGAAAUUGCAGAAAAGUCUCCGGUGCUUGGACAGGAUUGCUCAUUUUCUAUUCACUCACCAUCACGUGUAUCCUUCGCCCAAUCGUGAUCAAAUUCAUUAAUUAAUACACACAUGCAGUCGAUAGAUAAGAAGCAAAUGUUCUUGGAGCAUUAAAGCCUCCCUUGGAAAUGUCCUCGCUUCCUCAUUUUUCCGGUGAAUAUUGAAGAUGAAAAAGAUUUUACGAUGAAAUUAAAUUUCUCACGGGAAUCUAUUCGCCUACAGUCUACAGAGUGCGAUAUAUAUAUAAUAGUUUAUAAUAGGACCAAAAGAAACGAUUUCUAUGAUUUAUUUAAAAGCUGCAGGAACGUGCAACGUCAAACUGAAUGUCGGUGGUGCCGAUCUUCUGUGUGAGAAGAGUCAUAAAACUUCAUAAUUUAGUAAUAAAUAUACCAACAGUGUAUGUUUUAAUUUAUCCUCCAAGACUGAGGUGACGUCUUAAUUAUGUGAAACUGUGCAUAUCGAUUGGGAUAUGAAGAUAAAAGAGACAUAAAUAUUACUAUACGACGGGUGAAAUUCCCUGUUUAUGAUGUUCUUCUGGACACUAAAAUAGUGUAAAGAAGUAGUGUUGGAACUUUUGAGUGCAGCGAAUUGUGCAUACAGGAAUCUCUUUUUGAAGGAAUCAAUUGUAGUAGUACAGGACCAAAGUAUUAUGAAUAAACAAUGAAGGAAAAUUGAUAGGGUAUGAUCAUGAUUCAUGGCCGCUCAGCAUGGGAGCAUCUUGGUGUGCGUUUAGUGGGUCAUGGCUUGUCUAGCAUGCGCUGCGCACAUUGGCUCCUGCUGGGCAUGCUUGUCUUUAAGAACAUUUACAUGUUGACUCUCGUUUUUGUUUUUGUAGCUUCAUUUCACAUGUCCUCUUAUUGCCACACAUCACCAAACAAAGGCUAUGAGCAACUCAACUAAUUUCUUAAUAAUCAACUCCAAUCCGAAAAAGCGGUAUCAUCUAAUACUUUUUCAAUAUUCUACAUGUAUACUAUUGGACAAUAUAUGUUUCUGCAGAAAUGAUUGUCUGAUUGGACUAGCAGCUAGCUUCAUUCAUUUUCACACUGUUAUCAUCUCUACUGUCGAUGAACAUAUAUAUAGUACUCAAAAAAGCCCUUGUUCAUCUGCAGUGACAAGUUCAAGAAUUGGCCAUUUCUGACCCUCAACCAAUGGUAUUGCUCAAAUGUUCACAAAAUGAGCCUAUAAUUCAUCCUUUUUCAUGAGCCAACACAAGAAAUCUCAACUAAAUAAUUUAUAUAUGGAUGUCCAUGUCCUUGGUACAAGUAAUAAGCGAAGUAUAAUGAACCGCCACAUUUAAGUCAUCCCUAGAAUUAGAAUGCUGAUACGUACCGAUGCGUACGAAAAGUCGUUCGCUGUUCUACUGUUAUCGUAGGAUCUAAUGAUAAACAUGUACUGUUGGACGGAAAAAGGGUUACCAGUUUCAACACUGUUCAUUCUGUGGAUGCUAAGAGCCUAAGACGCACUAUUAGCCGAUUCGCGCACUUUCGGGAGAGGAGCUGUAUAUGCAGCAUCUUAUCACGUUUUCUAUUACUUUUCUUUUGGAGAGGCCGGCCGCUGGCACCAUGCCACAUUUCUCAGAGACUAUUGUCCUUUCCCUACUAAUGAUUAAGAACAUAAUUUAGUCAUCCUAAUGAUUACAAUUCCCACUCUUCUUUGGGAGGAUGAGACACCAAAUAAGCCUUGACCUUGCGCCCGAAAACAUUAAUCACUACUAUUAUAGAGGUGGUACCUUAUAAUCCCUUAAGUGCUACCAUUUUAAUUUACCUAAUACAUAAUUUUUUUUCAAUAUAUAAUAAUUGUUUUUGCUUCUAUUUUCCUGUCAAUUAACAUUAAAAAUUACUAAUAUCAUGGGAUCGUUCUUGUGAAAUCUAGCUAGUUUCUCCCUCGGAGCAAGCCUUCACAAUUCCCAAUUGUGCUACAACGUAUACUAUUAUACCAAAAUGUACCCUGUUGUUUAAUGGGUACCCUGUUUCGAAUUCUUUUAAAAUUUACCUGAAUUUCAAUCACGCAUGGGAAUAGAAAAUAAUCAAUGAUUGUUAAUUCAAUAUUUCUUUUUCUCUUUUUGGUUGCUUUUGUUAGAAAAGAUGCAUGAAUAUCUAGACGAAGAAUAUGCAUGCUUGAUGAGCAUAAGAGCUUCACAUUUUCAUUGUCGAUUUCAGGACAGUUGUACAAUGCAAAAUUGGUGGAUGAAGAAGAUGUGCAUCACCUCAUUUGAUUAAAAAUAAAAUUGAAGAUGGAAAAGUAGUACCCCUUUUAUUCAAUUGGACGGGCCACCUGCCGACCCCGAAAAGGAGGAAACGUCAUUCUCAUCAGGCCGAAGAGAGCCUCGACCAAUCACGUUCUGUGAAAUGAAUGCAACGAAACUCGGUCUUGGUCUAGUUUAUAAUCACCAUUCCCACAAGAAAUAUUGUUUUCUUUGUUGUGAUUGUUGCACGAAAUUAAAAUAAUCUUACACAUGCUGUCUCAGGCUUGGUCGGAGGAGAUAUAUAUUAUGGGCCAACUAAAAUCCUCCACGUUAAGAGCUGUGAAGCUUCUACUGGGUGAGACCAGAGUAGAAAGAUGAACAUGGAUGGCAAUUAGUACAGUAGUUGACCAAAACAAGCCUCCUUUUGGAGAACAAUGAUGAUAAUCAUGGCACGCAACAAACCAAGCGCCCUAUUCUGUUUUAUUUAAUUAGCCUUUUUUCAUGCAGAGAUAAGGUUGAAAAACUAAAAGGAAUAAAAAUAAAUGACCCCCUUCAUAUUCCCUCCCUCCACUUAUCCAAUUAAUAAAUUAUACGAUGAAUUCACAUUGAAGAAUGUAAAUAGAAUAUGUUAUCGCUCAUUAUUAGGAAGUGAAAACAUUCAAAAGCACUCGAAUAAUCCUCAUAUUCUGAGUAAUUUCAUAAUUUUUUUGUUUUUUGAAGUAGAAAGCUAGCAUUACUUUCAUCAAUUUAACAACAAACGAAAUACAGAUCGCAGAAAAUAUAUCCAGACAUAAUUAUGAAAUUACAUAAAAAAUUGGAAAUAAAAUUGAUUAGUGUACAUACGAGCCGAUUUACACAUUACAUUUUUAUGGAUCUUGAGUUGAAACCUUUCAGAUUAAUUAUCAUCAAGUUUCAGCAAUGCAUAUAUAUCAUAACAACAAUUGGAUAGAUCAUUAACACAUACUGAAGAGCAUGGAGAUAAAUCGGUGCUUCCAAGGCUAUCGAGGAGAUAUCAUGCAUCUCCGCGGCCACAGCAACCGUAGAGCUCGAAUAGGGAUAUUGCUUAGCUCGUUCACAAGAUUUUCCACCUCCUGACUUGGCUUCUCCAAUUAGUAUAAUCAUAUCUACUACAUAAACCAAUCCAAACCCCAUAACAUUACAGAUAUUUGAAACUAAAAAAAAAAAUGCUUAUUUUCAUAACAUAAUAUUGUAAAACUUUAAACCAACACAAAUUUGGAUGGACCAAGUACUUGUUCGUUAAACAAAUGAAGUCUGAAAUUUUAUUAAUUUCAUAACUUUCUUAAAAUUUAUUUGCUUAUUUUUUGUAAGUUAUGUCUAAUUUUCAAAUGUUUAUAUCUGAAUAGAAACAAUAGAUUUUUGUGAUGUUUAUUUGAAUGAAAAAAGACCAUAUAGGAGAGUAUAUCUUUAUUAAAGACACUUUUAUUUCAUAAACUGUAAAACAUAAUCUCUUUUUUAUUUUGAUUUAUAAGAACAUAAAUGUUAAAUAAUUAUGUUUAAGAAUUUUUAAUUUAUAAAAGAAAACAAUAGAACACUUUUUUUGGAUAUUAAAAACAAUAAACAAGUAUAUCAUUUAGACAUUUAUAUUUAGACACAUUCAAACUUCCAUAUCCAUUUAGAUUUCAGAUAAAAAUAAAUACUACCUAUAACCUUUAAUAAAUAUUGAUCUACAGAGAGAAAACAACCACCACCACCUAGUUGCUAGGGUGGAUAAGACCUCCAAAAUAUAAGGGUCUAUGGAAAAGAAAAAAGGAAACGACCGAAACGAAAAAGAAGAAAGAAAGAAAUCUAAUGAAGCAUGUUGCUUGAAUGUCCUAUAGAAAGAUGACAAAGUGAAACUUCAUUAAUCAUGAUUUUGCAAGAUUAUUGGUUAUAGGCCAUUCAAACAUUUAUCAUGAAUGCUUUUGUUGUCUCCUUAUUUCAAUGACAUUGUUGUAGAAAAAAGCUAUAUUCUACACUAGACGUGACAUUUCUCACGUUUGCAUCCAUUCAUAAAUUUAUCAUAUUAGUCGAAACAUGCCGAGUCAAUCAAAUUCAGAGAUUGAUAGCUCUGUUGGAUUUGAAAUAUCAAAAUCAUCCAAGAUUUACAUAGUUAUGACAUUUUCAUUGAUAAACUUGCUGGAAAGGGAUGUUGUAUGUUGAGUGCAAGACGGAAAUGGCUUUAUAUGGCUUACCCUAAAACAUGCAUUCAAUUAAGAGUUGAGCUAAAACCACUUACUUUAAAUAUGUCAUAGUAUUAAUUUAAAAGUACAUUAUUCUCUAAUUCUCUAUUUUCUAAAUUCGAUCCUUUUUUUUUUUUGCUAUGGUGGCUAAACUAAGUUGGAAGUCAUGACAGUUGAUAGAGAAUCGUAGACUUCUAGUCGUUUUAAAUUCAAGUAAUUUUACAUGCUUCUUAUUGCAACACUGGUGGUUCUUUUUCUUGAACUAUAUAUAAUUUUUAAAGUAAUUAAAAUCCUUUUUUUAGCACAGUAAAUCCUUCAUCAAAUCAUCUUUUGCACCUGAAAUAUUUUGUUUUAAACACUUUCUGCACCCUUUUUCAUUUUUAAUUAGUAAUUUAAAUAACCAUUUUCUUUUGAUUGUAAUUUUACAAAAAGAAUUACAAAAUAUUGCUUAAAACAGUUUUUAUAAGGAUGUUGGUGGGGUGCCAAUAGUCUCAUUAUGCUGAAUUAUGCGCGCAUGCAUAAUGUAUUGGAUAACUAAACCAGCAAGUCCGAUAACCUGACCGCGUUACAUCGGAGGCCCAUAAAGCUAAAGGACCCCGAAAGGCCUUAUAACUACAUAGAUUCUAACACGCCCUGAUGAGAAGACGGGGUGUCCCCAGUCCCCUUGAUAGAAUGAACAAUAAAGCAAUUGAACUGAAACUGCAGGGGUGCAUUGCAUAUUCAAAAGAUAAAUUCAUCCUCAAGGAACCAAAUGCAGAGCUUAGUUAUCAGAAUCAACAACCAAUCAUCAAUUUGUUUUCACCUACGCAAUCCAAAUUAACAAAGAGAAUCUGGUUACGCACAGCUGUUUCAAAUCAAGACCUUCACACAUGUUUGCAGGACAAUAAAGUGAAGUGUAAGCACCCCAGACCUAAAUUCAGAAGAGAAAUCAGCAUGGCUUGAUCACUACAUACAAAGAAGAUGCAUUCAACCUGAUAAUAAACAGGUUGCUCAACUACCUGCAGAUGUCACCCUCACUAAACAAAAGUUUUAUGCCUUCAGAAUUUAACAGUGUAUUCAACAAAGUAUUAUGAAACACAACAUGGCAACCAAGUUUAAUGAAAAUUAAACAGGAGGUGCAAAUUGUAGACAAACAUAAAAUUCCAUUUGGACUGGUUUCUCCUUGGCACUUCCCACAAGGACAUAGCAAUGAUAAGAUUACGUGUCUUUAACAUUCAAAUUAAAAUUUAGUACAACUACAAAACAUCCAGUAGAGAAGUAGUAGAAUAUAUCUUAAUCUGAUUGCUUUGAGCGAAAUGCAUACCGCUAUAAUUACUACUAAACCUGCCAAAAAUAAUGGUCCUCACAAUAACAUCAAACACAGCCUGAGAUGCAGCAUUGCAGGGACCUUCCACACAAGUACGUUAAGAUAAUUUUGGAAAAAAAGCAAAAUUGGAAGAUGAAGAAAUAUAACUCGUAUGUUUAUUACAACAAUAAGCCAACAAAUAUAUUGUAGGUGCUAUAAAAGUAAACAAACAGACGCAAACAGUCAACUCAUUCUGCACACACCACUAUCAAAAUCAAGAGCUCUCUAAGCAACUCUGCAAGCCACAGAAAGUUUCAGUAAGUUGACAAGAAAAUAUCAGAGCAUUCAUAUUCGAAAUAAGUAUAAAACACAUCAAAGAACAAAAUGCAUAUGACAACAUAACAGGGAGAAAAUACAAUGUACGUCUUUGUCAAUGUCGGUCUUUGUCUGUAAUAGGGAGCAAUUACAGAGUUUCAAGAGUAUUUGGUAAGCAAAUAGAUGUUUGGAUUACAGUACCAGAAUAAGUCUGAAUGUAGAAUAAAUGAGAAUGAAAUUAAUGAACAACAAUCAAAGCACAAAACUACGCCCUUUCUCCACGAAUUCGCCUGGCAAGCUGAAUGUCCUUUGGCAUGAUAGUCACCCUCCUGGCAUGAAUGGCACACAGAUUUGUAUCUUCAAAUAAACCAACAAGGUAGGCCUCUGCAGCUUCCUGAAGUGCAAGAACAGCGUGGCUCUGGAACCUCAAAUCCGUCUAUGAAAAACAAAGAGAAAAUAAAGACGAAUUUAAUCCCCACAUACUGUAACCACUGAUGAAACUAUUAAUAUGAUGGGGGAAAUGUAAAAGAAAUGGACUUCGACAAAAGUAUUACCUUGAAGUCUUGAGCAAUUUCACGAACAAGUCGUUGGAAGGGCAGCUUACGGAUCAAAAGCUCAGUGCUUUUCUGAUACUUCCGAAUUUCACUGUUCAUAACACAUUGAGAUAUAUCAAAAAAUGAAUGAAGAAUUAUUUUCAGGUAAAGCGUACAAUUACAAAAUGGGGAAGGAAAAAGGAAACUACAGCAAUGAAAUUCAUAAAAAUUUAUACCGAAGAGCAACAGUUCCUGGGCGGUAACGGUGAGGUUUCUUGACUCCACCAGUGGUAGGUGCAGACUUCCUAGCAGCCUGAAUUCAAUUGAAAAUUAAAGAAACAAUUAUUGAAUGUUAAAUUCUAGAUACAAAGUAUUGUCAUUUUCUAUUUAACAAUCAAGCUCCCAAGAUUUCUGAUAUAAUAGAAAGAUAGUUUCAUAACAUAUGACUAAAAAACGAUCGACUAAUCUCAUUAGGCUCAUACUCAUUUCAAAGAUUUAUUGCGCACUCAUAUUCAAUAUAACAAUAGAACACAAUAAAUGUAAUGACAUAAAAAACCACAAUUAGUUUUUGCAAAUUCCUGUAUGGACGAGAAGGCAAGUAAAUAAUUCAGGAUCAAUAGAAUCCCCAGAAACCAAGAUAAUCGCCUUUUUCCGCAAAAUUUUAACCUAAUGUCAAGAAUAUUAACGAACAAUUGGUCGUAAUGUAGAUUUGCGAAAGAAACGAGUCUUGAAAAGCUUAAAUAAUGAAAUCAAAAGGCGCGGUAAAAAUAAAGAUUGGAAAGACGCAACAGAUACCUUAGUGGCGAGCUGCUUCCUGGGAGCCUUGCCGCCGGUGGAUUUGCGAGCAGUUUGCUUGGUACGAGCCAUAUCACCUGGAAAUUAGAUUAACGAGUCAGAAUUAGAUUGACGCUGAACAGAUUUUUAAAGCGAAUUGACAAAAUCCACGGGUUGAAGUUUGAGCGUCUACCUGGUGCAAACCACAAUGAAGACGAAGAGGUUUCCGGGUUCGAAUUUUCAAGAAGUUUGACGAGCGUCAAAUGUGAGCCGGAUUUGGGUUUUAUUAUGUAUAAUACUAGGUGCAGGUGGGCACUAUUUGGUAGGGUUCCAGGAAAUCCAACGGCUGCUAAUUUCAAUUUGUGUCGUUAACCUGUUGGGUUACUGGUGGACAACCCUCAUUUAAUUAUGUUAAUGAAAAACCCAUUAUUCUAAAUCCAACGAAUCAAAAUGCAUGGCUCUUAGUUACGGAUUAUGUAGCUUUUUGAUUGCCUAUAAAUGCAUGCUAAUUAUGUGAUAUUCUCCAUCAAUCAUUCAAUUGGACACGUUCCGUACUUUAGAUUUUACAUUAACAGAUUACAAGUCUAAUCAUGUGAUUGGCCAACAGCUCUCAGUUUGAGAGUAUUUUUUAUUUUUCUAUUUUUUAAAUUAAGUUAACUGAUUUUUUUUCUAAAAGGUGGGCCUGCAAGUGGAUUUUAAGUAGAAGCUUAGAUGGAUUUGCUAGCUGGCCCCCAUUUUAUCUCUCAUAGCUCACAUAUUUAAAAUCAUAGUUUGACAGGUUUUAAAAAAAUAUAUGUACAAUUUGACAUAAAUGUUUAAUUUGUAAGAUAUAAGAAAAGAUUAAUAGAUUGUUCUAAAUUUUUGUAAAUCAAUUUUGGUUAAGAUAAAAAGUGACGGAGAGGGGAAAAAAAAAUAUAAGUGAAUGUAAUUAAAUUAAUUUUUAUUCUUGAAAACAACUUUACUUAUAGUGGGGUUUUAUAAAGAUCAUGAAGUGGUGCUCUUAGUUAUAGAGGCCAGUUUAGUAGACAUAUUAUUGGGCCGAUCAAAUAUUUUUUUUUCCAAGAACUAGGCCCAAUUUUCGACUUGGGAACACAGUAUGUACUGUUGAAUGAAAAUUAUGUAUCAUCCUUAUCUCAAACCUUCACCCUUCAUCUUCAUUCGAGUGUAAACGAAUGUUUUGGAGCAGGGUAUCGAACAUUAUCACGUGUAGAAGAUAUUUUGUCUACAUUUUUAGAUCUUAUCUUAUAAUAAUACAAACAAAUUUUGUUCAUAUUCUUCUAGUUUUAGGCGAAUUAUGUUCAGAUUGCGUGUUGUCUUUAUUUUACAUAUGUAUCUCAAAAUAAAGUCAAAAGGUUAAACUCAAACGCUGGUGGCAUUUACUAUUAAUUAUAUGAUAAUAUGUGCGAAACUUAGUCUAAACCAACCGAAUGAGAAGCUUAACCCUAUGUAUCCACAAGCUGUCAGUCAAUGUUGUACAUGUGGUCUGAAAUGUCUCCGUACGUUAUCAAUGUUUAUUGGUCACAAUCAUUACAACUACUCUACCUUUAGAGUUAUCAAAUGUAUAUACGUAUGCUGAUGGGUGGUGGCCAUGGUGAAAUUUGUAAGAAGGGAGUGGUCGCAUGCAGAGUUAAAAACUUGAAAGUUUCGAUUGGCGAAAAGUAAAGUAAAUGUGGGGACCAAGACCAAGCUGAUGCUUUUUAAUUAUCAUGUGCCUUAAAAUUUGUAUAAAUGGUAUGAAAAUUAAAUUUGAACAAAAAAAUAUGGGUUGAUGGGUAAAUUCAUGGAUGGGUCACUAUCGUUUGAAAGACACAGUACAAUAAUUCAAUGUUAAAUGAACUAGUGUGCCAACUCUUAUUUAGCUGGGUUGGUGUAAGCUUUGGGAGGAGGAGGAAGAGGCUGCGACGUGGCUCGAUACCUAGUUUAUUAGAUUUUUAAGAUUCUUUUGUGUAGCGCUAUCUGUUGAUCCACAAGUGGAGAGCUUUUGUGUGAAAGCGGCUGCAUGAGCAGGAUGCAUAUGGACAGAUGUUUAUGAUAUCAUGUAUUCAUGGUAAGUGGUAGUCGGUUUUGGAAUAUGUAUGUAAAGUAAGUAAAAUGACAUGUGAUGACGUGCGUUUGCUUUAGCACGAGCCCCCACGUCAUCGACCUACUAAUGAUGUAAGCCCUCGAAUAAGCCAUGCCUGUCCUGGACUUACCUAAAUGUCGAAGCUCGGAUACUAAUUAUUAUUAUUAUUAUAUAAGAAAGGGAUUAAAGAAGAUGACGAUGAGGAAAGAAAUUCACAAAAAUUGUUAAUAGACAGAGUUCAGUCUGCUCUUUUGCAGUCUCAAGCUCUCUCUCGUUUUUAUACUUUCUCAGAUCUUCUAUGAAAAUAAUCUUUGUGCGUAAUUAACGUAAAUAAACUGGAAAAUACAAGAAUUAUUAGAGGGCGAGAAAUUAAUCAGCUGAUAUACCUUUAAUUCCUAUAUAACCCGGACAUCUAUGUAUGGUCUACUAGAUCUUUUAAUAUGACAUUAUUACACCAUUAGUAUUUAUACUCAUCUUCUUUUUUCACUGUCAAUUAUUUCAAUUACUAAAAUUUCUUAUAGCAAAAGAGUUAAACCUUGCUCACAUGGGGUGCGGUUAAGGAGAGUGGUUUGAUUUCUUUAUUAUAUAUGAUAAUCUAAUUUUGAUUACGGAAACUAUAAAUUUUACCUAAUGAAACAUGAAAAUUAAUGAAAUAGUCCAAAAACCCAGUUAUGCUUAAUGAGUCUCCUAUGUUGUUACGCACUCUACUUUAGUCAUUUUAAUUCUAGUUUUAUACAAUAAUGUUAGAUGUAGACCUUGUAGUUACAGUAAAUUCCAAUUGCCAAACAUAUAUUUCUCUGUCUACCUAUGAAGUUCUUCUGAUGGUUUUGGUACCUUUAAAGUUAAUUGAGAAUGAAUGAAAUAUUGUUGCCAAUAUAGCGCUAUAUUCACCCACAUGUAAGGCGAAUAUUGAAGGAAUUUUUUAAGGCAUACGAAAUUCAAACUACAAAAGCAUUGUUAAUUUUUUGAUUGCUCUUUCCACCAAACCAAAAACCUAAGAGAAUUAACUGCUUCUAGCCAGGAGAUUUUGAGAUUAACUGAAAAGCAUUUGAAUUCUGAAAGAGAGAAUUAAGAAAGAUAUAUAAUAAUAUGAAAAGUAACAUUAUAUAUUUUGAAAAAUUGAAGUACAUACGGAUUCAUCUUAUUUCUCCUUUUCACCAUAAUUGUUGCAUAUUACUAAAAAAGAAAAAAAUUGAAAGAAUCAAAAGGAUUCGAACUUCAUUUGAAAUCUUUUUUUCUUUUUAAAUGAACCUUGGCUAUCGAGAUAACUUUAUUGAAAGUAAAGAAUAAUACACUCAUAUCAUAGAGACAUAGUGGGCCUUAGAUAACUGCAAUAACAAAAGAAAAAUAAAAAAUAUAGACAGCAAAAUAACAAAAGAAAAAGUAGAAAAAAAAAACAAACUUCAGAAAAAUGAUAACUAGAAGUCCAUUGGUAUCAUUAGAAAGAAAUCUAAAAAUUUUUAGUGACAAAUUAUCCCAUCAAAUGAAAGCAGCGCACUCUAAUUCUAGAUUUUACCAAACAAUAAUUAGUGGCUGAUUUUAGCUUUAUUUGAAAUGUGCACACAGAAUCCGUAACAAACUAAAAUGAAUUUGCUGAGAUUGGGUCGUACAAUUUAAGUCUCUUUAUUUUCUUCACUCAAAAUAUUUUAGAGAAGGGAUCAAGAAGAAGGCAUAUUAGUUGAUUCGUGGCCAUCUUUUUUUUUUUUUCACUUGUCCCAAAAGUUGUCGCGCACGACAUGACCUAAAGUUCUUCUUCCGUUCGGAAACGUGUGCCAGUAAUGUGUAAACUCAACUACAGUUCUCUCAAAGCACAACUUAUUAGCCGUGGAUGGUUUUAUUCCUUGCAAAAAACAGCAGCUUCCGGGAACAAUAACUUUAUCACAAAGUAAAAUUGUUUCUGUCUAUCUGUAUCCAAUUUGGUUUUGUUUAGAAAAUAUUAAUGUAUAUGUUAAAAGUCUCUAAAAUUUAAUACAUAACCAAUGUUAUUUAUGUUGCUGAGAUUAUAAUAAUUAUGCGCCAGUGAAGAAAGCGAUUGUCUGUCGUACGUUACAGCUAUCAAUACACACGUUUUACUGCUGAAUUUACAGUUCAGAUAUCUUAUAUUUUGUUCUUUAAUUUUUUUCCUUUAAUCUGCAUAUCUCCUCAACCAAGUUAUUUUUUUCCCUUCAUUUUCCAUAUAUUCAAUCAACAAGUUUCUCAUGUUGCUCCGAAAAUAGGAAGUCCCAACCCCCCAAGGAAACAAAUACAGUGAACCCAUCAAAAUCAUAUGCAUAGUUGUUGUACGGACUUAACAUGUUCAAGUAAAGAAUGCCAUCGGCUUUGGCUUAGUAUGUUGAAACGAUAAAAAGAAAAAUUUUGUUCUUCUUUUUGAUUGAUUCACAAGGAAGACUGGGUGCAAUAUCUGGAAAUUGGGCUUAUACUGAAUAUGCUUUUUAACCCUUUUUUCCCCCUAAUCUUCAUAUACAAAAGUUACAUUCAAGUUUAAUUAAUUGGAAACAUGCUCUUGGGUUGCUCCAUCAAGCUUGAGAACGUGCUAAUGCGACAUCGUCCCACCAGAUUCUGAUUCAACUUCCUUGCACGAUAGGAAUUUGGAGCUGCAAGCUUCGACAGAAAUUCAUAUUACAGCUCACCCAGAAACUAUCAUCUGUUAGUAUAUGCACAAAUAUUUAGCGCAGAAAUUCCCUCACCUUUAUAUCUAAGCAAAUAUGCUUCUUUUGACCUGAAUAUGAAUAAUAAAAAACCCCAGAUUUUUCCAAUAAAAACAUCAACAGCAAUUUGUAAGUUUUUUUUUUUAAAAAAGGAAAAUAUAGUGUGCGUGUGCUCACCUGAUGUGUUCUGGUGAUGUUGUGAUAUGUUGUUGUUGGUAGCUAGUCAUUAAUCGCCGUUGCAGCAUCAUCAAGAUUCUCACUGACAAAAACCAAGGCAAGCAAAAAUGAAGAAAAAUUGCUGCUUUUGCCUUUAGACUGCAUGUGAAUCUUGAGGACGCUGCUACAGCGAGCAACGACUGUUUUAAGGUGACGUGGCAUGUAGCAAAGGGUUUUAAGGUUAGAGUUGCAUGAGCAUGAAAGAUAUUUCAUUUAAAACGGAAAGGGUUUUAAAGAUCUGCGGAGAAAGGAUGGGAACCGCUCAUAAAUAUUUCUAAUAAUUUUAUAUAUUUGCUUUUGAAAGGGUAGGAAGUAAUUGAAAUGGUCAAGAUCUGACCACUCACCAGUGUUAUCUUCAAAGUACCGAACUAUGAAGAUAUCAAAGAGAGUGAGAGAGAGAGAGAGAUCAUUUGUAUUCUGUAAGGAAGGACUGAAGAACGGAGAGAUGAGAAAAUUGUGUGAGGAAGAGGGUCACUCGAGGUCCAUUAUAUACAGGCUGAGGACUGGAAGGGCUUCUUGUGUGACCGCUUGGUGGACGAAAGUUUUGCACCAUCUUUGAUUUCGAGGUGACACGUUAGCUGACUCCGGAUGGCAUUACCUUCACGCAAACUACAUUAUCCAAUACCUUUAUGAGAUACACAUAAUCUGAAAACUAUUAUAUGCAUAUGAAUAUGUUAAAUAAAUUCAAAGAUAUUACCAGCAAGUGCGUAGAUCAAUUGGUAAUAAAUUGUUCUAACUUAAUUAAGGUCUUCAGUUCAAGAUUUGAAAAUACAGCCGCGUUAAAUAUUCGCUGCCCUAGUAAAUAAAUUCAAAGAUAUUGUUUGUAUUUGAUUAUUUAUCUUUAUUAUGUCUCUAAAUUUUUUUAAAUGACGCCACCUAAAACUUUUUAUAAGAAGAUGAUCAUUUAUAAAAUAUGUGAUAUAAUUCUAUUAAACGGUUUCAUUGAGACCAUACUACUUACAAUUUUCUCGUAUUCAACCUUUACUAGAAUUAUGAAUGGUAAUAGCUAUUGGAGAGUAGGUGAUGUACCAAAGAUAUCCAAUUUUUUUUUUAAUAUUUUCAUAUGAAAUCUUAAUAUUUAUUUAGUUUCUCAAAACUUAGAUAGUUUUCAUGAAAAAUCAUCGUGGACCAAACCUACAAGUUUUCGUUAAACAUAAAACAUUAUUUCACCACUUUAAUUAUCAAUUUAACACGACCUUUCAGAAUUCAAGAAAAUAGUAAAAAUAGUUAUUGGAGAGCUCAAUGAUGAAAAGUGAAAAUGGCUACGGUUAUGUCCGAUCAAAGAGAUUGGUCAGAUGUAGAUUUUUUUUUUUUUUUCAAAUUGUAGAUUCGGUUUUUUAAGUACAUACGCUAUCUUUCGAAUUCUUAGUGGAUUCAGAAUUUUUUAAAGUAAUUACAAGUUUACUACUCAAUCCCACGUGGAAAGAAAAUAGACCAAUCCACUCAAGUGAUUAUUUUUACAACAAUGCUGCUUUGUUUUUUUUUUUUUAAAAGGGUUAUCAAAUUUGGGUCCAGUUAUGGUGCAAUUGUGGUACCAUACCACAACUACACCUAACUAUUGGAUCCAGUUGCACACAUGUACUAUAAUUGGAUCCAAUAUUUAGGUGCAGCUGUGGUAGUUGCACCAUAAUUUUGUCCAUCAAAUUUUGAUAAAAGCAUAAAAAAGAAAUCAAAAUAUCAGAGUAGUUAUAAACAAUUUGCUUUUUUGUCAACAUACUUUAGUCUUUUUCUAUUUCCUAUAAAAAACUUGUAACCCAAUUUUUUGUCAAGAUAGUACUCUUCUUACUCUUAACAGCGACAUUUAAGCAAAAGAGCUAUGAAAAACUCCGUGGAGUUGUAUAGGCAAAGACUGCUCUAAUAUAUGAACUGUUAUCCCUUUUGUAAGGCGUUUAUGCAGGAAGAGUGAGUUGAACUAAUUAGGGAGUUUUGCUGAUGAUUAAGUAAAGAUUAAGACUGUGCAUAACAAUUAGUUCAGUUUUAACUUCGUGGAGAGGUUCGAAUUAAACCAGUUUACAUGUGCGUGAAGAAUGGGUAAAAGUGUGAAACUAUUUACGUCAAAGAAAUGAUUUUAAAAAUAAUAAUAAUAGUGAAGGCGUUAAUUGAACGAUUGCCUAAUUGCAUGUAGUAAAUUUACUGUUUAGUCCCGUUACAGCCACUGUUUUACAUUAUGGCCCUCUCAGUUUUUUUAUGGUUUAUUAUUACGUCCCCCGCAAACCCAAAAUCGUGGUUCCCUGCUGCAAGGAGAUUAGUUCCUUGUCAUUUCUAUGUUAAUAUGUAUAUACGGACUUGACUAGCUUACAGAAUCUGUAAGCUACAGACUGCAGCAUCAGCCGUUGGAUGUGGUUGGAUGUGGAGUGAGAAACUAAACAAUAGAAAAUCGGAUGGUGGGAUGACGGGAGAUGUUUGUUACAGAAUCUGUACCAUAGACAGGUCCUGUAUAUACAUAUACAUAUAGAACUAGCUAGCUAGUAUAUGAAAACUUGUGCGUCAGCUCCCGAAAAAUUAAGCCAAGAGUAAGAAAUUUACUUAAUUUGACGAGCAUCAGUCAAAAUUCUAACGACAAAAAUAACGUGUGUAUAUAUUAGUGAGCAUAUAAGUAUAUAUAUAGGCUGUAUCAUAAUAAAAUUAAAUUGGAUUAUUCUCUGUAAAUUUGUACUGUAUUCUAUAUAUUUUUCAUGAUUUGUGCAAACAAAAGGAAUAUCAAAGUAGCUUGUUUUAUCAUCAACAGUGGCGAAGGAGAUUAGGUCCACAUAUUCUCAUGCCAUAUGUUUUAUUUCAAUUUGAAAAUCGAGCGGAUACGAGAGUAUCUUAUUUCUAGUAGAAAUAGAUUGGAGAGAGACAUAGAAAUUGGUACAAUUAUUGGUAUGAUGAUACAGUCAGAGGAUAAUAUUUAUAAUAAGCAAUAAUUUUAACCUAGACUUUUGUAAAAGAUGCCGAACGACGUCCCGCUGGCAGGCUUUGAAUUGUUUCUUCGGACCACACAGUGUGUUUAUUAUCUAUUGUUUAAUGGAGGUCAAAUUUUGCCUGACACCACCCUUAAUUUCUUAGUUUCACACGAAUCAUCGAGUAAAACUUGAAGAUUUCACUCUGCUUGGUGUAUUCUUUUUUCAAGGAAUCAAUGAUUCAUUGCAGAAAGCGCUUGGAUGUGGAUGCUGCUCAUCAAGAUUCAAGACUGUGUAAACAGCGUAACUAUGACUCCAUUUAUCCCUUUGGCAAUUGGUAUUUUAAUCAUUGUGAUUUUUAAAUCCACCCUUGCUGUAAAAUAUAGUUAUCUACUGUCCACACAAAAUAAUAAAAAUUAAUUAGAUGUCAACUAAGAUAGAAUUUCAUUGUCAAUUUGAUAGCUACAUCUAAUUUUUACAGGUCUUUGAUAAAUUGUUGCUAUUAUUUUGAAUUUGUAAUCUCUUACUUCCAUUAUAAGCGUUUUUUUUUUUUGAACUGAUUAAGCAUGAGGUUACUGUAUUACACAGAGAUAUUUACAAAUGACAACAUAUCAUUGCAUUGAUAAUAUUUACAAUCAGAUAUAUAUCUGGGACUUACAUUAUUACAUUUUUAUUCUUUGAAGUAUACGCCCAGCCAAAUACCCCUCUCGGUGAGGGAUGUCUCUAUUCCACUCGCAUUUCGCAAGAGAAAAAGACGUUAUAAGUAAUCUCCACACAAUUAUAAUUAAUUGAGGGAGUUUGAGUCUGUAGGGACUCGAACCAUUGCCCUCAUAGUCAUGCUUGACUUUAAGGACAAUGAUUCACCACUGGGCUACAAGCCCAAGUGGCUCCAUUAUAAGAGUUAAGCUACCUAAUCGAUGGUUUACAUAUAAUUUUUUAUGAAAUUUAUGAUCACAAGAAAAAAAAAGAUAAAAAAAUUGGUAUUUCUUGAGAAUGAGCAAGCCAUUCAUCAACAUCCAGCUUCCACCAUCACUACCACCACUAACCUUUAUCGGCAUCAUUUUCGUAUGUAAAUUUUUAUCAGGAGAUUUUAUUUUGUUAUCAUCGCUAAUUAUUAUAAUUCUAACUUUUUUUUAUCAUCAUACGUAUGUCAUCAAAGACCUUUAUCUGGAAAAUGGUUGCUGAUUUGCUAUACAUCACCAACGCUGUGUAUUAAACUUGUUAAAAGAUAAGUUGUGAUAAUAUAUGACAAGUGCGAAUUGAAGUCAUAUUGUACGAUGCCAUUCAACCUGCCCUAUAUCUUCUUUUGCUGUUAAAGCUUUAUUGGAAUAAUCAUUCAGGUGAAUGAAAAUGAUUGUUUUGUUGAAGAUUUUUUGAGUUACAGUCACACUACAACUAUUUCACGCAUGAAUAGGAGCAAACCUGGGGCUUUGAUUACAUCAUUAGCCUCUAUGAUUGGAAAACAGUGCCCCACAUGCGGUUAUUGACACAAUACUUAAUUAAAUCUCAGUCGCACAUUUAAAGAAACCAAACUCAAAAGCUUAAAUUGACAGAUAAAGGCCAACAAAUAUAAUUGCGGACUAUCAGUCUUAAAACUCUUAACAAUUCAUCACGAUAUGUGCAGAUUUCCACCAAUAGAUUUAAGCUCAUUAUGUGAUGUAAUGAUAGUUAACAACAUCUCGCUAAUUAAGCAAACCAAAGAUGAAAAUGGUUCUAAGAGAAACUUUUAAUGCAAAAAUGUCUAUACAAUAAUAUGCACCAUUUGAUGUAUCAAUGCGUACGUCUGUAAUUUUAUUGUUUUUUAAGGUUCUUGAAUGUGGAUAUCGUAUUGCACCUUUUUUUUUUUUUUUUAAUGUGUACUCUUAAAACGCACAUUAAUUAUUAUUUGUAUAGCUACAUCGUGCGGAGAGUAGGAGGAUAAUAUUUUACUUAAGCUUAAUUUGAUAGCUCCUCUAAUCUAAAUUAAUGAUUAAAAAGAAAAAUCUUUAAAAUAAGUAGUCUUAUCCGAAAAAUCGUGAGUGUGUGUGUAGACGUGAGAGUGAAAACAUUCACGAGAUGCAAAAAUAAUUGUCCUUCACGUCCAGCUAGCCCUUCUGUUUUAGCCAUUGACCCUAAACUGUAGGUUGUCUUCAUUGCAAGCAACUAAGCAAUGGUGUGAGAGAUAUGUCGCUCCGUCAAUAAUUUCGUCUCUUUCACAACUUAGUGGGUUACCUACAAGCUUAUAGGGCUCAAUAGCUGAGGCCAGGUAUAUAAAUUAUGAGGCUUCCUGAGAUUCUUCGUCCUUUAGCUUUGGUUACGGCGCAGAACUGAGUUAUCUGCUGGACGAGAGAGUGAUCGCCACAAAAAUUAAUCUUUUAUAAUAUUUUUAUAAAAAAAAAAUAAAACAAAAGAAAAAGAAAAGAAAGUAAGAAAGUGGAUUGCAAAUCCAACCAAAGAAAAAGGAACACAUGCAACACGCCUCAAAAUUAGGGCCACAAUCCAAACAAUCUGACGUGCGCCUGCAAGUGCUUGUGUGGGUGCUAGCUGCUAACCCCACUUUCUAUUUUUCUUUUCGAGAAAUGAGAUUAUGCGGAACGCGUUGGAGCAAGCAAGCUGCAAGCAUUCAAAAGCAAAUAAGCAGUAAUACUAAUUCACGUAUUAUACAUGUUGAUGAGAAUGGACCAAAACUGUUCCAACAGUGACAAGCAUGAUCCCCAAUUUUAACCAAGGUUAAAGUAAUAAUUUUUUAUUGCCAUAAAACUAGUUGUUAAAGAUCAGUAUACAACCAUUUGACUGAAAAAAUCGAACACCACCUCUUUCAUGGCUUUCAAAUAUUCGCCCGUAAGAAAACAAUUGGCUUUAUUUUCUUGGGUGUUUUGCUGUGAAAAGAUGAAAGAAGAUUCAAUGGAGAAAGAAGUCGUGAUAUGUACCAUCAAUCACAAUUCACAAACCAUGUGCAAUUUGUCUUGUUCAAUCAGGUUACUGCUGUGGAGAUAAAUAUGAAGUGUCAUCUCCUUCGUGCAUACGCAUUUUAAACCCAACUUUAUUUUCUGUGGGACAUAUAUACUUCCUUCCUUAACUCUCUAACAAAAUAUUCUAUAACUAAGGCAGUAAAAUUCUUAAUUAUAAAUUUAUAAAUCUUGUAAACUCUCCAUAACCCUCCACAGGUGAUGAAUAAUAAUAUAGGUACGUUUAACAAUGGUUUGAUAUCACACAUCUCCACUAUUCAUUUGUCCAAUUUUGGAGGGUUAUCAAACAAUUGUCAGAAUGAUGAGAAUAAGCCCAAUUGACUUGGACGACUUGGGUUUUGGCCUCUUAGGAAACCCCAUUCAAAGGCCUUUUCUUUAAGGUAAAUAUGGGCCGCCAUGUAAAACCCAAACUUUUGAAUUGGACUCAUUAGAUAGCCCGAGUUAGUUGACUACAAAUAAGAGUGCCCAAAUAGUUUAUUGAAGCACCCCUACCCAUUUAGUGGUAACACCAAUUUAACCUCACUUAAAAUCAUUCUUAUAACCCCAAUUUUUCUCUCUUAAAAGUCAAAGCAGAAGUUUUAUUUUCUUUAAAAAAAAUUCUUAAAAAUUUUCAUCGAAUAUUUUUAUUUAAUUGAUCACAAAAAUUUAAGUUCUGAAUAGGAAGAAGAUAAAAAUUAAUUUUGGCUUUUAUCACUCCUACAUUUAAAAAUAAUGUAUAUAUACUAUUAUACAAAUUUAUUGUUCAUAUUUGCUUAUUCUUGGUUUAAAAAAUAGCAAUAAUAAAAAGGUAUCUUGUUCGGGAUAUUAAAAUUUUUCUAAAAUUAACAAAUAAUGCAAAAAACAUGUUUAUUGUACGAGUUUUUAGUUAAAGAAUAUAUCAUUGCAUUUUACAUGUGAGUUUAAUUAAUAUUUUAUAUAAUUGAAGGGGCAAGCAUGGGCUGGUUUGGUUUAAAACCCAAACCAAAUCAUAAAAGUUUGGGCCCAAUUCAAACCAAUCCAAAUCAAUUAAUUUUGAGUUUAGUUUGAAUUUUAUGAUCAUUUUAUAUUUCGAUAAAUUUUGUUAUGUCAAAAUUACAAUAAUUAAAUUAGUGUUAAAAUAUAAAAAAUAUAGUGGAUAAAAAAUUAUAAAUAUAAAUUUUGCAAUAACUUCAUCCUUAAACCAAAUAAUACUAGAAAAUUAAAAUAAAAUUUAAUCACAAAAGUCAUUAUUUCUCAAUAAAUAAGAGCACAAACUCUAAUAAUAAAAUUCCACAAGAAUGACAUCAACAAGUAAAUUGAAAGAAAAAAAAUAAAAAAUUAGUAGUAUUAAUCGUAUUGCAACACAAAUUCUAACAAUUUUCAUACAAAUUAAAGUAAGAUAAGACAACCCAAUUCAAGUAUCAAAGCAAUUCAUCAUAAUCAUUCUCAUCUGGAGUACUUUAAUCAAGAGCUUUCAUGAUCAACCGAGUUGCUCGAUCACCAACAAACAAAUAACAAAAAAAAAAAUUAUAAUGUUGAAUAAUUAUAAAGGUGAGUAAAUUUGGACAGGAACAUACCAAAAUCAUGAGCAUAACAUCGAUACAAAACAGUCGCCUUCGUGUUACACUUAAAUCAAAUUAUAUAUUAAAUAAAAAUAAAGUAAAAAAAUCUAGUGAUAAAUAAAUAUAUAAAUUUUUUUACUUGUUAUGAUAAACAAUUACCUGACAUCAUGGCUUUAAAAUUUUUUUUCAUAUAAUUAAAACACAAACAAUAUCAAAUUCAAAACAAACAGUCAGAUAAAUUAAAAUUUUCCUUUCUUUUUUUGGCAUUUAAGAGGUUCAGAGUAUGAAACUGCUUCAUCAAUCAGGAAUUUUCUGAAGCAGAACUGGCAAAUAAGCUGUAUAUUUUCCUCCGUGACUAGCCUAGGUUCCGGAGAGUCUAAUGCUGUCGAAAACCAACUAGAGGAGAAUUAAAGCAGAACGGGCAUACAAGCAGGAAUGAAUUCAUUUUCAUUUGUUUUGUUUAAUUUAUUUUCGCUUUUGAGUUUUGGGAAGGUAAACCAUAUCCAAAAGAUAAUGAAGUAGUUUCUUACAUAAAACACAAAUCUAACCCAUUUUUAUUAUUUACCCAACCCAAAACAAAUUUAUUUUGGUGUCGCAGUCUACAGUCUACUUAGAAAGUAAUUUUAAGUCUAAAAUUAGUUGUAAAUAUCUAGUUUUAAGACGAUUUUGCAGGAGUGUAAAUCCCCCCCCCCCCCCCCCCUUUUUUUUUUUUUUUUUUUUUUUUUUUUUUUUUUUUUUUUUUUUUUUUUUUUUUUUUUUUUUUUUUUUUUUUUUUUUUUUUUUUUUUUUUUUUUUUUUUUUUUUUUUUUUUUUUUUUUUUUUUUUUUUUUUUUUUUUUUUUUUUUUUUUUUUUUUUUUUUUUUUUUUUUUUUUUUUUUUUUUUUUUUUUUUUUUUUUUUUUUUUUUUUUUUUUUUUUUUUUUUUUUUUUUUUUUUUUUUUUUUUUUUUUUUUUUUUUUUUUUUUUUUUUUUUUUUUUUUUUUUUUUUUUUUUUUUUUUUUUUUUUUUUUUUUUUUUUUUUUUUUUUUUUUUUUUUUUUUUUUUUUUUUUUUUUUUUUUUUUUUUUUUUUUUUUUUUUUUUUUUUUUUUUUUUUUUUUUUUUUUUUUUUUUUUUUUUUUUUUUUUUUUUUUUUUUUUUUUUUUUUUUUUUUUUUUUUUUUUUUUUUUUUUUUUUUUUUUUUUUUUUUUUUUUUUUUUUUUUUUUUUUUUUUUUUUUUUUUUUUUUUUUUUUUUUUUUUUUUUUUUUUUUUUUUUUUUUUUUUUUUUUUUUUUUUUUUUUUUUUUUUUUUUUUUUUUUUUUUUUUUUUUUUUUUUUUUUUUUUUUUUUUUUUUUUUUUUUUUUUUUUUUUUUUUUUUUUUUUUUUUUUUUUUUUUUUUUUUUUUUUUUUUUUUUUUUUUUUUUUUUUUUUUUUUUUUUUUUUUUUUUUUUUUUUUUUUUUUUUUUUUUUUUUUUUUUUUUUUUUUUUUUUUUUUUUUUUUUUUUUUUUUUUUUUUUUUUUUUUUUUUUUUUUUUUUUUUUUUUUUUUUUUUUUUUUUUUUUUUUUUUUUUUUUUUUUUUUUUUUUUUUUUUUUUUUUUUUUUUUUUUUUUUUUUUUUUUUUUUUUUUUUUUUUUUUUUUUUUUUUUUUUUUUUUUUUUUUUUUUUUUUUUUUUUUUUUUUUUUUUUUUUUUUUUUUUUUUUUUUUUUUUUUUUUUUUUUUUUUUUUUUUUUUUUUUUUUUUUUUUUUUUUUUUUUUUUUUUUUUUUUUUUUUUUUUUUUUUUUUUUUUUUUUUUUUUUUUUUUUUUUUUUUUUUUUUUUUUUUUUUUUUUUUUUUUUUUUUUUUUUUUUUUUUUUUUUUUUUUUUUUUUUUUUUUUUUUUUUUUUUUUUUUUUUUUUUUUUUUUUUUUUUUUUUUUUUUUUUUUUUUUUUUUUUUUUUUUUUUUUUUUUUUUUUUUUUUUUUUUUUUUUUUUUUUUUUUUUUUUUUUUUUUUUUUUUUUUUUUUUUUUUUUUUUUUUUUUUUUUUUUUUUUUUUUUUUUUUUUUUUUUUUUUUUUUUUUUUUUUUUUUUUUUUUUUUUUUUUUUUUUUUUUUUUUUUUUUUUUUUUUUUUUUUUUUUUUUUUUUUUUUUUUUUUUUUUUUUUUUUUUUUUUUUUUUUUUUUUUUUUUUUUUUUUUUUUUUUUUUUUUUUUUUUUUUUUUUUUUUUUUUUUUUUUUUUUUUUUUUUUUUUUUUUUUUUUUUUUUUUUUUUUUUUUUUUUUUUUUUUUUUUUUUUUUUUUUUUUUUUUUUUUUUUUUUUUUUUUUUUUUUUUUUUUUUUUUUUUUUUUUUUUUUUUUUUUUUUUUUUUUUUUUUUUUUUUUUUUUUUUUUUUUUUUUUUUUUUUUUUUUUUUUUUUUUUUUUUUUUUUUUUUUUUUUUUUUUUUUUUUUUUUUUUUUUUUUUUUUUUUUUUUUUUUUUUUUUUUUUUUUUUUUUUUUUUUUUUUUUUUUUUUUUUUUUUUUUUUUUUUUUUUUUUUUUUUUUUUUUUUUUUUUUUUUUUUUUUUUUUUUUUUUUUUUUUUUUUUUUUUUUUUUUUUUUUUUUUUUUUUUUUUUUUUUUUUUUUUUUUUUUUUUUUUUUUUUUUUUUUUUUUUUUUUUUUUUUUUUUUUUUUUUUUUUUUUUUUUUUUUUUUUUUUUUUUUUUUUUUUUUUUUUUUUUUUUUUUUUUUUUUUUUUUUUUUUUUUUUUUUUUUUUUUUUUUUUUUUUUUUUUUUUUUUUUUUUUUUUUUUUUUUUUUUUUUUUUUUUUUUUUUUUUUUUUUUUUUUUUUUUUUUUUUUUUUUUUUUUUUUUUUUUUUUUUUUUUUUUUUUUUUUUUUUUUUUUUUUUUUUUUUUUUUUUUUUUUUUUUUUUUUUUUUUUUUUUUUUUUUUUUUUUUUUUUUUUUUUUUUUUUUUUUUUUUUUUUUUUUUUUUUUUUUUUUUUUUUUUUUUUUUUUUUUUUUUUUUUUUUUUUUUUUUUUUUUUUUUUUUUUUUUUUUUUUUUUUUUUUUUUUUUUUUUUUUUUUUUUUUUUUUUUUUUUUUUUUUUUUUUUUUUUUUUUUUUUUUUUUUUUUUUUUUUUUUUUUUUUUUUUUUUUUUUUUUUUUUUUUUUUUUUUUUUUUUUUUUUUUUUUUUUUUUUUUUUUUUUUUUUUUUUUUUUUUUUUUUUUUUUUUUUUUUUUUUUUUUUUUUUUUUUUUUUUUUUUUUUUUUUUUUUUUUUUUUUUUUUUUUUUUUUUUUUUUUUUUUUUUUUUUUUUUUUUUUUUUUUUUUUUUUUUUUUUUUUUUUUUUUUUUUUUUUUUUUUUUUUUUUUUUUUUUUUUUUUUUUUUUUUUUUUUUUUUUUUUUUUUUUUUUUUUUUUUUUUUUUUUUUUUUUUUUUUUUUUUUUUUUUUUUUUUUUUUUUUUUUUUUUUUUUUUUUUUUUUUUUUUUUUUUUUUUUUUUUUUUUUUUUUUUUUUUUUUUUUUUUUUUUUUUUUUUUUUUUUUUUUUUUUUUUUUUUUUUUUUUUUUUUUUUUUUUUUUUUUUUUUUUUUUUUUUUUUUUUUUUUUUUUUUUUUUUUUUUUUUUUUUUUUUUUUUUUUUUUUUUUUUUUUUUUUUUUUUUUUUUUUUUUUUUUUUUUUUUUUUUUUUUUUUUUUUUUUUUUUUUUUUUUUUUUUUUUUUUUUUUUUUUUUUUUUUUUUUUUUUUUUUUUUUUUUUUUUUUUUUUUUUUUUUUUUUUUUUUUUUUUUUUUUUUUUUUUUUUUUUUUUUUUUUUUUUUUUUUUUUUUUUUUUUUUUUUUUUUUUUUUUUUUUUUUUUUUUUUUUUUUUUUUUUUUUUUUUUUUUUUUUUUUUUUUUUUUUUUUUUUUUUUUUUUUUUUUUUUUUUUUUUUUUUUUUUUUUUUUUUUUUUUUUUUUUUUUUUUUUUUUUUUUUUUUUUUUUUUUUUUUUUUUUUUUUUUUUUUUUUUUUUUUUUUUUUUUUUUUUUUUUUUUUUUUUUUUUUUUUUUUUUUUUUUUUUUUUUUUUUUUUUUUUUUUUUUUUUUUUUUUUUUUUUUUUUUUUUUUUUUUUUUUUUUUUUUUUUUUUUUUUUUUUUUUUUUUUUUUUUUUUUUUUUUUUUUUUUUUUUUUUUUUUUUUUUUUUUUUUUUUUUUUUUUUUUUUUUUUUUUUUUUUUUUUUUUUUUUUUUUUUUUUUUUUUUUUUUUUUUUUUUUUUUUUUUUUUUUUUUUUUUUUUUUUUUUUUUUUUUUUUUUUUUUUUUUUUUUUUUUUUUUUUUUUUUUUUUUUUUUUUUUUUUUUUUUUUUUUUUUUUUUUUUUUUUUUUUUUUUUUUUUUUUUUUUUUUUUUUUUUUUUUUUUUUUUUUUUUUUUUUUUUUUUUUUUUUUUUUUUUUUUUUUUUUUUUUUUUUUUUUUUUUUUUUUUUUUUUUUUUUUUUUUUUUUUUUUUUUUUUUUUUUUUUUUUUUUUUUUUUUUUUUUUUUUUUUUUUUUUUUUUUUUUUUUUUUUUUUUUUUUUUUUUUUUUUUUUUUUUUUUUUUUUUUUUUUUUUUUUUUUUUUUUUUUUUUUUUUUUUUUUUUUUUUUUUUUUUUUUUUUUUUUUUUUUUUUUUUUUUUUUUUUUUUUUUUUUUUUUUUUUUUUUUUUUUUUUUUUUUUUUUUUUUUUUUUUUUUUUUUUUUUUUUUUUUUUUUUUUUUUUUUUUUUUUUUUUUUUUUUUUUUUUUUUUUUUUUUUUUUUUUUUUUUUUUUUUUUUUUUUUUUUUUUUUUUUUUUUUUUUUUUUUUUUUUUUUUUUUUUUUUUUUUUUUUUUUUUUUUUUUUUUUUUUUUUUUUUUUUUUUUUUUUUUUUUUUUUUUUUUUUUUUUUUUUUUUUUUUUUUUUUUUUUUUUUUUUUUUUUUUUUUUUUUUUUUUUUUUUUUUUUUUUUUUUUUUUUUUUUUUUUUUUUUUUUUUUUUUUUUUUUUUUUUUUUUUUUUUUUUUUUUUUUUUUUUUUUUUUUUUUUUUUUUUUUUUUUUUUUUUUUUUUUUUUUUUUUUUUUUUUUUUUUUUUUUUUUUUUUUUUUUUUUUUUUUUUUUUUUUUUUUUUUUUUUUUUUUUUUUUUUUUUUUUUUUUUUUUUUUUUUUUUUUUUUUUUUUUUUUUUUUUUUUUUUUUUUUUUUUUUUUUUUUUUUUUUUUUUUUUUUUUUUUUUUUUUUUUUUUUUUUUUUUUUUUUUUUUUUUUUUUUUUUUUUUUUUUUUUUUUUUUUUUUUUUUUUUUUUUUUUUUUUUUUUUUUUUUUUUUUUUUUUUUUUUUUUUUUUUUUUUUUUUUUUUUUUUUUUUUUUUUUUUUUUUUUUUUUUUUUUUUUUUUUUUUUUUUUUUUUUUUUCCAUGUUUUUUUUUUUUUUUUCAAACAAAUACCUCCAACAGGAUUAACACUAGUAGGUGUUUGGACAACAAGUCCAAAAACAUCAAAUUUGUCUUAAAAAGUCAAUUUCGCAUAGAUUAAUUCUUCCAAGUAAGACCAGUUAUAUCUUAGUCUACAUUUAUUGACGGAUUGUGGUUUAGUGAAUUAGUAGCUACUAUAAAUGCAAAAAUAAAGUUGAUGAUUGCUCUUUGAGAUUUUACAAUUUUUGUAUAUAAGCCAAAUUUGUAGACUUUUCUUCAUUUUGAGCCACAUCAAGAGCUUGGUCGGCAUCUAGGUAUUUUUCAUCUUUAGGAGAUACUGUCACUGUGGAGACACAUGCCUUAUCAAGGACCUUUUGCUCUAAAGUAGCACUUUCACUUAUAAUUUGAUCAUUCACAAUAACAAGAUCCAAACUCUUGUUUUUCUUUUUCAUGGAAUACUAUCUUUUAAAAGUGGUUUACCAUGCUUCAAGCGUGCUGUAGACAAUUCAUCAACUGCUUUUCUAUCAGAAUGUUGAAUAUGAACUAUUACCUGGUCAAGUAUAUUUGUAGCUGGUGCAUAUGACUUGGAUAGUUUGCAUGCAUCUAUAAAUGCAUCUGGGAAUUGAUUUACAAUUUGUUGUAAGUAAAUUAUCUUCCACACUCCAUUUUCACUUUGGGUGGUUUAAAAAUAUAGACGAGACAAGUUUCUUACUUGUCAUGAAAGCUCAUGCCCAUCAUCAUAUGACAGUUUUUUCCUUCGCAACAGAAAAUAUUUUAUCUUAUCAAAAUGAAAAUUUGUAAAACAUGGUAAAUAAAUCACUUUUAAUGGGUUUAAAAUAUCUUAUAAUAGACAGCGAGUCAAAAUCCAUAUAGGUUCUUAAACGUCAUUGAGGUCUCAUUUUAGUACACUAAGGAGGUGCAACAAGCACUUUUACAACAUAACUAAAGGUGCACAAGUAGUGCAUAUUAGGUUGAUACCCUAAAACUAAUUGUAAAACUUACGUAAUAUUGGCGAGAAUAGUAAUCCUAAAGCAUACCAAUACCACAACAUGCAAAAUAGCAUGUCCACUAUGUAGAAGUAGAUAAUUAAGUACGUAAUAACAAAGUUGUUACAAUUAUCUAAAGAUGUUUGAUGGAGGAUUCUGCUAAUCCAUUCUAAGUAUCAACAUGUGGUGCUCAUCAAUCCCAACUGAAAUGCGGUAAUUAUCAAAAACCUUAGAAAUGAAAUUCCCAGCAUUAGCUAGUUGUAUAUCAAUGAUUAGAUAAUCUGAAAAUCGCUCUUGUUACCUAAUAAUUUGUGCAAGUAAUCUAGCAAAAGCAACUUUAUGUAUAGAUAAUAAAAAAAUUUGGGACUAUUGCAUGGAUGCAUUAAUCAAGACUAUAAAAUAAGGAAAUAUAUCAUUAGGUAGGUUAAUAGGUCUAUAAGUAUCUCCCUAAACUUUUAUAACAAUGAUGAAGAUUCAAGAUCAAUCUUAAAAAUAGAUGGUCUAAUUAUUAAUACAUCUUAAGAAUAGCAGUGCAAGUAUUUUUACUAGAUAAAAGAAUCUCUAAAUUCUUUAAAGGUUUUUCAUGAGAAUUCUCAAUAAUUCUAUACAUCAUACUUGAUCUAAGAUGGCUGAGACGAUCUUGCCAAAGCAUAAAAGCUUUUGGAUCAUCAAGUUUCCAGUUUAUGACUAAGUAGCUCUCUACUUCUUUUAUUGUCAUAUAAUAUAAGCCAGAUGAGAUAAUUGGAAGCUUCUCCAAUGUAAGUUUCUGGCCCGAGACAUUAUGAAAAAUAUCUUUAAAGCUCAAAUGAUAUGAACAAGGCUCUCCUCGAGUCCACAAUUAGAUCCGCAGGACCUGAGAUGACAUUCAUAUUAGCUUUAAAUAAUUUUAAACUCAUGAAGUAUUUCUUAAUAUAAAGAAUAAUAUGUGCAUUUCUCUAUCAUAUAAUUGAGCUUCAAAGAUCUAGAUCCUUUCACAAAAGAAAACAUAUAUUAGACAGUAUUAUAAUAUAAUACAAAAAAAAUAUAAGCAUAUAAAAAAUAAUCCAUAAAAGUCAAUAGUUGAUCUUAAUCGAUAUGGCUAUCUCCAUCACCAAGUAAAUCAGUUGUAUUCUCAUCAUAGUGUUCGAAAAAGUCUGAGACAUCCUUAUGUGUGUUAUCAACUGAAAUAGCAUAAUUCAUCUUAAUAUUCUUUUCUAUUAUUUUCUUUCUGCAAAGAUGUUUGAUACAUAUCAACAAGAUGCAUAAAUGCACAGUAAAAUCACCAAUGAUGGCCUGUAGCUCCACACCUAUUAUAAGUGCUUUCUUGAACCUUACUUUAGGAAGAUUUUUCUUCAUCAUUCUUCCAAUUUUGAUUACUUUUAUUGUAAUCAUCACAGGGUUAAUAAUUGUAACCACGAUUACGACUAUAACCACACUCAACCACGACCAUGAUUAUAGUUAUAAUGUUUAUAGCAUCUUUGAUUCUCACUAUGACUGUUGAAACAACAUUUGCUUCAAAAGUGGUGUUUGCUUUCGGAAAUGGCUUUGUAACAGCCAAAUGAGCUUGAUAAUCUUCAUUAGCAAUUCAUUAUUCUUCUCAGCAAUAAAAAGGGCAUGAAAUUAGGUCAAAAUACUUCUUGUACUCACAAGCUCGAUAUUAUUACUGUAGAACCAUGUUUGAUGCAUGAAAUGUUGAGAAGGUCAUCUCUAAUAUAUCUUCAUCAGUAAUAUUUCCUUCACAUAGUUUCAAUUGUGAUGUGAUUCUGUAAAGUAUAGAGUUCUAAUUAUGAACUAACUUGAAAUCUUGCAGUUGAAGUUGAUUUCAUUCGCUUCGAGGAUUUGGAAGUAUAAUUGACUUUUAUUGGUCAUAUCUAUCAUGUAAUGUUCCAAAAGACAUGUGGGUCCUUUACAGUGAGAUAUGAUGGUGAAAAAAGAUUACAGUCUUGAUGCGUUCUUGAGCAAAUUCAUUUUUGCUAGGCUUAAUUUUGUUGCCGAGGCCCAUGGCAUCAGGGUGAAUAUCUAAAUCAAGGAUCUAUGUAAAACAUUUUCCAUCGCAUAUAUCAAAGGCUUCAAAUGCUAUCUUCAUUAGGAGUGGGAAAAAAAACUGAUUAAUCAAAAACCGAACCGAAUCGAACGGUUCGAUUUUUGUGCGGUUUUUUUACAUCUAAAAAACCGAAUGAGUAAUAUAAUAAAAAUAGUAAAACUAGUCGGUUCGGUUUUCGAUUUAAAAAAAAAAAAACGAACCGGAUAUCAAAUAAACCGAAUGUCAAAUAACAAUCCCUAAAAUCUGAAGUCUAAACUAAACAAGGCUGAACUCGUGACCUUCACCCGCAACACCUUCAGCCGUUGGAAUCUCGUCCCCGCUGUUCGUCGCCACUGCUCGUCAGUCGUCACCGCUGCUCGUUGCUGCUGUCACGGUGCUCCCCUGCUACCAUUAUUUGUCUGAAUAUAGUGGGCUCACCGCAAAGAUUCUUUUGUUUUUGUCAACAAAAUCUCUCAGUAGAACAAAAAAUCGAACGAAAAAGGUUCCAUUUUUCGUUUCGGUUUUAUGAAUUUGGUUUAAAGUUCAUUUCUUUUUCCUCGUUCCCAUGUUUUUGUUAAUGUGCUUGAGUUAUGUAAAUAUCGCUGCCGUUUUUGUCUGGUUUGUUAUGUUUUUGCAGAGAAUAAAAAUCAAUAACUUGAGCUGCUGCUGAUUGUUUCGUGUUUUGUUUCGUAAUUUGUUGAGGUUCGUUCACUUGAGACGUUAUAUUUAGUUAUACCCAUGACUACUAAUUUGUAUGCCAAAAUUGAUUUUUGAUUUCUGAUUCAUUCUUUUGUUUUUUCUUUUCCCCCAUUUGGGUGAGAUAUGGUUUGUUUCUUUGAUUGAAAGAUGAUUGAAUGAUUGGUUUUUUCAGUUUUUUCAGUUUCUUUUCCCAAAUCGCAAACUGGAUACUGUUGAGAUUGAUCAUGAUUUUUAUAUCUUAGAGCUGUGUUUGAAAAUGUUCUCUAUAGUGUGCGGUGAAUUGCUGGAUUCACUGAUAUUUUCCAGAGCACGUAAAGCAGUUUCAUAACUAAAUGCUGGUGCUAUGAAUUGCUGGUGUUGUCUUUACUACUGAUGAAAACUAAAGGUCUAAAGCAAGUUCAAACACGUCUCAUUCAUGACUUUUUAAGUUUGUAUAUUCAUAACUAAAUUAAUUAAUCAAAAACGCCAGUAAGUAUUAAUUUUCUGCAACAGGUUCAGACAAAAACAUUUUCCAGCUGGUUCUGCUAACUAACUCUAUAUGGAUCCUUAAUUAAACUAUAACCUAAAUUGAUUUUUUGGUUAAUUUUUAUUUUUUAGAGGCUUCCACCUAUGAUUUGACACAUGUCCCAACAAUCAUGAAAAUGGGGAUAAUAAUAAAAGCAUUAAAAGAUUAAAAACUUUUAACUAAGAAACAAAUCGUUUGUUUAAAUAAAUUUUUAUCUUUUAUGUAUGGGUCUUUAUUUGAACAUGUUAUUUGUUCUUGAACAUAUUUUGAGACAUAUUUUGAUUUUUUAUUUGUUAAUUUUUUAUGUUUGUGGUAGAUUUAUUAAUUUAAGAUUUUAAAUUUAAAAAGCCCAAAAUAAGUCCAAUAGACCCAUAAUCGAAAUAAUCGAAUCAAAUCGAAUCGAAUUAUUUCGAUUAAUCGAAUAUUUGAUUAUUUCGGUAAUUUGAUUAAUCGCGAUUAUGAUUUUAAAAUAAUCAUAAUCAAACGAUUAUGAAAAAUUUAGUAAAAAACCGAACCGAACCGAACCGCGCCCACCCCUAAUCUUCAUUAAGUUUGACAUCUUUAAGGGCUUCAACAUCUGUCAAAUUUAUGGCUUUAGAUGUAAAGGCUUCAAUUUUGAUAUUGUAAGGCUUUCAAUUUGAAUUUCAUACACUUCGGCCUUGAUUUACACUUCAAUCUUGAUUCUUCGGCUUCGCUUGUAAUGUUAGUAAUAAAAUAAAAUAACUAGCCUUAUUUUCUAAUGUGAAAUAUUCAAAUUAAUGGUGACCACAUAGCAUACUUAUAAGCAUAGUUUUAUUAAAUAAACAAGUAAAAUGAAGAGUUAGGGAUAAGAUUCUUCUUAUACCAAAGCAAUAGUCAUGCUGAUAACAUGUUAUAAUUUUUAACAAGAAAUAAUUGUAGUUUAAGUAAAUAAUAUAAAGCAUAAGAGAGCUAGCUAGAUACGUAAAGUUAGGCAGAAAAUUGAAUUGAUUUGGAAUUGUAUAUCAUAUAGACGGCUUUGCACCCUUGUUUAUAAAACAUGCUGUGCAACUAAAUUUAGCGAUAUCUUAAGUAUAUUACUUAGUUGUUUACCUUGGCUUGCAGUUAAUUUGACUUAGCAUAGCUAAGUUACCGAGUCAAGCUUAGUCAAUUAACUACAGCCAUGUGUGUAGCCAAAGAAAUCCUUGCUCACUUGAUUUACAUCCACAUCCGAAUUAAUUGGCUUUAUUUGCAUAUGUGGCUAUAUUGACUUACUUAUUUAGCCAAUUGUAACUAGCGGUGCAUACACUAACGAAAUCUCACGAUGGAGAGCCACGAACUUCCAUAGUAGUUCUACUAUUUUCAAUCAAAACAAUUUUGUCAAUGAUAUUCAUUUGUUUUCAUCAUCCUUAAUUACGCUGUACGUUGAAUCAUACUCAAAUAGUAGCUCAUGAGUUAAGGUUGCCUAAGGUUCUAUUUUUAACUAAUUAUUACAUAAAAAAAUGGAGUGAGUUAUAUUUAUACAUGAGUUAGCUUUCAUUUCAUAUAAAAUUCCGUAAGUAUAACUCAGAUUCAAAACUAGUUCAUGAGUUGAGAUGAAAUUCCCUCAAGUUUAAUUAUAUUAUUAACUCAAGAUUUAUUCUCAUCCAGUAUGAAACAAUCUCCUUACCGGGAUUUCGAACAUAAAAUCUUGAAUCCGAUAUUAAAUCAACGAAACCAUUUGACCCAAGCAUAGAGAUAAAAGGUAAAAAAUUAAAGCUAUUAAAAAAAAAGAAAAAGAAAACUUGUAAUUCAAAUGGGAAAUUAUUUGUAGACAAUAUUUUAUUUACUAAACAUUUUUCGCUUCACAUAUAUUAAUUUGGUUCAUGCACUUUUGACAGAAUCCUUUCAUGAAAAGGAAUUUUGGAUCUUAGUGUGAACCCAAAAUCAUAAACAGCGAAACCCACUAUGAAAAUUUCCCUUUCACAACUUUAUUUCAAUUAAUAAAUCGAAACCAAAAAUUAAUGGUUCAGUAUAAAUCCCUUUCACAAGUUUACUUCAAUUAAUAAUUCGAAACCAAAAAUUAAUGGUUUAAUAUAAAGGUCAAUAAGUUUUCUCAAGUUUGAAACCAAAUUCAUGCAUUGCAAAAAAUAUGGAGCUUGGGCUGUAAAGUGAAAAAGGCGUCAAGAAUUUCAACCAAAGUUUUAAAAAAGGAAAAGAUGCACAUGCCACUUUGAGUAACAAUGAGUAUUCAAGAAUGAAAUGUAAACUUUGGGAUGGCUCACGGGACACCUUCCCAUAAAAAAAAACCUUAAAUUCCCACAUUUGGAAAUAGAAAUUGUAAAGGAGAAGCUCCACAGAAUCUGAAAAAAUUAUAAAAAUAAGUACAAAAGUUCCAAUUUUUUGUUGUCCUUUUCAUGGGAAAUGAAAUGAGCCAAUUACAUUCGGUGCGCAUAUUUUCAUCUUGACACUUGGCUUUUUUUUUUUCCUGGUGGAUCUUGGCAGACAAAAACACAAUGGAAAAUGUUAUUGGUUAUUAUGGCAGUAAGAAUGAGGAAGAAAAAAAUCAUUAAAGGCUGCGGUCAAUUGAGAAGAUUGAAAAGAGAUUUGCAGAAUUUGCAACAAUUGUGAGUGGAAGACAAAUUUGAGAACCCAAUCACACAAUUGGUUGACUUAUGAAAAGGUGAAUUUCAUUUUGAAAUGUUCUCUUAAUGGAGAGGGUGAGAUGAAUCCAGCCAUAUUCUUUGGUAAAGCUUCGCAUCUAUAGUUCUAUGUACUGACAACUUUUUGAUUUAAGUCCUGUUAAAUUGCUUGCUGAGAAGUGCUUUUGCUGGCUGCCCAUUUUGUCGAAAAUAUGGAGUUCUUCGUAAUCAUUAUGUUUUAUGGAUAGUUGCUAACCAUGAGAGUCGGCAAAACUUAACAAAUCCCAUUUCCCGUAUGUUGAUGCUUAGUGGUAAAGAACAUAAGUUGGUUGCAUUUUGAUGUUUUACAUAGAAAUACUGACGAUUUAUUGAGUUAAUAAGAGUGCAUGCAAUUCUUUUUAUAGUUUAAAAACAUGUCCGGUUCUUGAAAAUUUCUACUCACAUAAAUAUUUUUAAGCGUGUAGGUUAAAGAGUUCGUUGAAUCAGAUUUUUAUUUAUUUAUUAUUAUUAUUUUUGGUUGUCAUCCUUAGCCACGUAUAAGAAUUCUUAUACUUAUUAUUUUAUAUAGUAUAAGAAUUUAGAAAAAAAAAAAAGUGUAUACACAAAAAUAUACUCAGAAAUAAAUAAUGCAAUAAAUUGGGGAAAUGGGGUAUGCCAAAUUUAUUCUAAGGUGUCAGAAAUUCCAUCUGAGUUUGGGAACUGAAAUAAAAAAAUUUCUGGCGAGUGUUGGACAAAAAUUGAUGAAGACAGAGCAGGAAAAACAGCUGGAGUGCUUUUGUCAUUUUCUAGACUUGUAAUUAACUUGUAUAUUGUAAUGGGAAUGCUUUGAUGAAAUGGGCCCCUUGCGCACCCCCUUGGGUGGCCCAAACUUGAAAGCACUUUUUGGAUUCUUUUGGAUGAAAUGAUGUAAUUGAAAGAAUUGAGUUGGCUUCUAAGUAGUUGAUGACAUUGACAAAAAGAGAGUGCUAUAUUAUAUAUAUGGACUUGACUAGCUUACAGAAUCUGUAAGCUACAGACUGCAGCAUCAGGCGUUGGAUGUGGUUCAAUGUGGAGUGAGAUACUAAACAAUAGACAAUCGGAUGGUGGGAUGACGGGAGCUUUUUGUUACAGAUUUUGUACCAUAAACACGUCCUUAUUAGCUUAUUUCGUUUACCGAUGUCAUCAUUACGUACUUUAUCCACUGAUGUAACAAUUGUGUCAUUUUGUCUGCAACUUGCCUUCAGCAUCUGUUUUUACUAUGCACAUUAGGACUUGACUAGCUUACAGAAUCUGUAAGCUACAGACUGCAGCAUCAGCCGUUGGAUGUGGUUGGAUGUGGAGUGAGAAACUAAACAAUAGAAAAUCGGAUGGUGGGAUGACGGGAGAUGUUUGUUACAGAAUCUGUACCAUAGACAGGUCCUGUAUAUACAUAUACAUAUAGAACUAGCUAGCUAGUAUAUGAAAACUUGUGCGUCAGCUCCCGAAAAAUUAAGCCAAGAGUAAGAAAUUUACUUAAUUUGACGAGCAUCAGUCAAAAUUCUAACGACAAAAAUAACGUGUGUAUAUAUUAGUGAGCAUAUAAGUAUAUAUAUAGGCUGUAUCAUAAUAAAAUUAAAUUGGAUUAUUCUCUGUAAAUUUGUACUGUAUUCUAUAUAUUUUUCAUGAUUUGUGCAAACAAAAGGAAUAUCAAAGUAGCUUGUUUUAUCAUCAACAGUGGCGAAGGAGAUUAGGUCCACAUAUUCUCAUGCCAUAUGUUUUAUUUCAAUUUGAAAAUCGAGCGGAUACGAGAGUAUCUUAUUUCUAGUAGAAAUAGAUUGGAGAGAGACAUAGAAAUUGGUACAAUUAUUGGUAUGAUGAUACAGUCAGAGGAUAAUAUUUAUAAUAAGCAAUAAUUUUAACCUAGACUUUUGUAAAAGAUGCCGAACGACGUCCCGCUGGCAGGCUUUGAAUUGUUUCUUCGGACCACACAGUGUGUUUAUUAUCUAUUGUUUAAUGGAGGUCAAAUUUUGCCUGACACCACCCUUAAUUUCUUAGUUUCACACGAAUCAUCGAGUAAAACUUGAAGAUUUCACUCUGCUUGGUGUAUUCUUUUUUCAAGGAAUCAAUGAUUCAUUGCAGAAAGCGCUUGGAUGUGGAUGCUGCUCAUCAAGAUUCAAGACUGUGUAAACAGCGUAACUAUGACUCCAUUUAUCCCUUUGGCAAUUGGUAUUUUAAUCAUUGUGAUUUUUAAAUCCACCCUUGCUGUAAAAUAUAGUUAUCUACUGUCCACACAAAAUAAUAAAAAUUAAUUAGAUGUCAACUAAGAUAGAAUUUCAUUGUCAAUUUGAUAGCUACAUCUAAUUUUUACAGGUCUUUGAUAAAUUGUUGCUAUUAUUUUGAAUUUGUAAUCUCUUACUUCCAUUAUAAGCGUUUUUUUUUUUUGAACUGAUUAAGCAUGAGGUUACUGUAUUACACAGAGAUAUUUACAAAUGACAACAUAUCAUUGCAUUGAUAAUAUUUACAAUCAGAUAUAUAUCUGGGACUUACAUUAUUACAUUUUUAUUCUUUGAAGUAUACGCCCAGCCAAAUACCCCUCUCGGUGAGGGAUGUCUCUAUUCCACUCGCAUUUCGCAAGAGAAAAAGACGUUAUAAGUAAUCUCCACACAAUUAUAAUUAAUUGAGGGAGUUUGAGUCUGUAGGGACUCGAACCAUUGCCCUCAUAGUCAUGCUUGACUUUAAGGACAAUGAUUCACCACUGGGCUACAAGCCCAAGUGGCUCCAUUAUAAGAGUUAAGCUACCUAAUCGAUGGUUUACAUAUAAUUUUUUAUGAAAUUUAUGAUCACAAGAAAAAAAAAGAUAAAAAAAUUGGUAUUUCUUGAGAAUGAGCAAGCCAUUCAUCAACAUCCAGCUUCCACCAUCACUACCACCACUAACCUUUAUCGGCAUCAUUUUCGUAUGUAAAUUUUUAUCAGGAGAUUUUAUUUUGUUAUCAUCGCUAAUUAUUAUAAUUCUAACUUUUUUUUAUCAUCAUACGUAUGUCAUCAAAGACCUUUAUCUGGAAAAUGGUUGCUGAUUUGCUAUACAUCACCAACGCUGUGUAUUAAACUUGUUAAAAGAUAAGUUGUGAUAAUAUAUGACAAGUGCGAAUUGAAGUCAUAUUGUACGAUGCCAUUCAACCUGCCCUAUAUCUUCUUUUGCUGUUAAAGCUUUAUUGGAAUAAUCAUUCAGGUGAAUGAAAAUGAUUGUUUUGUUGAAGAUUUUUUGAGUUACAGUCACACUACAACUAUUUCACGCAUGAAUAGGAGCAAACCUGGGGCUUUGAUUACAUCAUUAGCCUCUAUGAUUGGAAAACAGUGCCCCACAUGCGGUUAUUGACACAAUACUUAAUUAAAUCUCAGUCGCACAUUUAAAGAAACCAAACUCAAAAGCUUAAAUUGACAGAUAAAGGCCAACAAAUAUAAUUGCGGACUAUCAGUCUUAAAACUCUUAACAAUUCAUCACGAUAUGUGCAGAUUUCCACCAAUAGAUUUAAGCUCAUUAUGUGAUGUAAUGAUAGUUAACAACAUCUCGCUAAUUAAGCAAACCAAAGAUGAAAAUGGUUCUAAGAGAAACUUUUAAUGCAAAAAUGUCUAUACAAUAAUAUGCACCAUUUGAUGUAUCAAUGCGUACGUCUGUAAUUUUAUUGUUUUUUAAGGUUCUUGAAUGUGGAUAUCGUAUUGCACCUUUUUUUUUUUUUUUUAAUGUGUACUCUUAAAACGCACAUUAAUUAUUAUUUGUAUAGCUACAUCGUGCGGAGAGUAGGAGGAUAAUAUUUUACUUAAGCUUAAUUUGAUAGCUCCUCUAAUCUAAAUUAAUGAUUAAAAAGAAAAAUCUUUAAAAUAAGUAGUCUUAUCCGAAAAAUCGUGAGUGUGUGUGUAGACGUGAGAGUGAAAACAUUCACGAGAUGCAAAAAUAAUUGUCCUUCACGUCCAGCUAGCCCUUCUGUUUUAGCCAUUGACCCUAAACUGUAGGUUGUCUUCAUUGCAAGCAACUAAGCAAUGGUGUGAGAGAUAUGUCGCUCCGUCAAUAAUUUCGUCUCUUUCACAACUUAGUGGGUUACCUACAAGCUUAUAGGGCUCAAUAGCUGAGGCCAGGUAUAUAAAUUAUGAGGCUUCCUGAGAUUCUUCGUCCUUUAGCUUUGGUUACGGCGCAGAACUGAGUUAUCUGCUGGACGAGAGAGUGAUCGCCACAAAAAUUAAUCUUUUAUAAUAUUUUUAUAAAAAAAAAAUAAAACAAAAGAAAAAGAAAAGAAAGUAAGAAAGUGGAUUGCAAAUCCAACCAAAGAAAAAGGAACACAUGCAACACGCCUCAAAAUUAGGGCCACAAUCCAAACAAUCUGACGUGCGCCUGCAAGUGCUUGUGUGGGUGCUAGCUGCUAACCCCACUUUCUAUUUUUCUUUUCGAGAAAUGAGAUUAUGCGGAACGCGUUGGAGCAAGCAAGCUGCAAGCAUUCAAAAGCAAAUAAGCAGUAAUACUAAUUCACGUAUUAUACAUGUUGAUGAGAAUGGACCAAAACUGUUCCAACAGUGACAAGCAUGAUCCCCAAUUUUAACCAAGGUUAAAGUAAUAAUUUUUUAUUGCCAUAAAACUAGUUGUUAAAGAUCAGUAUACAACCAUUUGACUGAAAAAAUCGAACACCACCUCUUUCAUGGCUUUCAAAUAUUCGCCCGUAAGAAAACAAUUGGCUUUAUUUUCUUGGGUGUUUUGCUGUGAAAAGAUGAAAGAAGAUUCAAUGGAGAAAGAAGUCGUGAUAUGUACCAUCAAUCACAAUUCACAAACCAUGUGCAAUUUGUCUUGUUCAAUCAGGUUACUGCUGUGGAGAUAAAUAUGAAGUGUCAUCUCCUUCGUGCAUACGCAUUUUAAACCCAACUUUAUUUUCUGUGGGACAUAUAUACUUCCUUCCUUAACUCUCUAACAAAAUAUUCUAUAACUAAGGCAGUAAAAUUCUUAAUUAUAAAUUUAUAAAUCUUGUAAACUCUCCAUAACCCUCCACAGGUGAUGAAUAAUAAUAUAGGUACGUUUAACAAUGGUUUGAUAUCACACAUCUCCACUAUUCAUUUGUCCAAUUUUGGAGGGUUAUCAAACAAUUGUCAGAAUGAUGAGAAUAAGCCCAAUUGACUUGGACGACUUGGGUUUUGGCCUCUUAGGAAACCCCAUUCAAAGGCCUUUUCUUUAAGGUAAAUAUGGGCCGCCAUGUAAAACCCAAACUUUUGAAUUGGACUCAUUAGAUAGCCCGAGUUAGUUGACUACAAAUAAGAGUGCCCAAAUAGUUUAUUGAAGCACCCCUACCCAUUUAGUGGUAACACCAAUUUAACCUCACUUAAAAUCAUUCUUAUAACCCCAAUUUUUCUCUCUUAAAAGUCAAAGCAGAAGUUUUAUUUUCUUUAAAAAAAAUUCUUAAAAAUUUUCAUCGAAUAUUUUUAUUUAAUUGAUCACAAAAAUUUAAGUUCUGAAUAGGAAGAAGAUAAAAAUUAAUUUUGGCUUUUAUCACUCCUACAUUUAAAAAUAAUGUAUAUAUACUAUUAUACAAAUUUAUUGUUCAUAUUUGCUUAUUCUUGGUUUAAAAAAUAGCAAUAAUAAAAAGGUAUCUUGUUCGGGAUAUUAAAAUUUUUCUAAAAUUAACAAAUAAUGCAAAAAACAUGUUUAUUGUACGAGUUUUUAGUUAAAGAAUAUAUCAUUGCAUUUUACAUGUGAGUUUAAUUAAUAUUUUAUAUAAUUGAAGGGGCAAGCAUGGGCUGGUUUGGUUUAAAACCCAAACCAAAUCAUAAAAGUUUGGGCCCAAUUCAAACCAAUCCAAAUCAAUUAAUUUUGAGUUUAGUUUGAAUUUUAUGAUCAUUUUAUAUUUCGAUAAAUUUUGUUAUGUCAAAAUUACAAUAAUUAAAUUAGUGUUAAAAUAUAAAAAAUAUAGUGGAUAAAAAAUUAUAAAUAUAAAUUUUGCAAUAACUUCAUCCUUAAACCAAAUAAUACUAGAAAAUUAAAAUAAAAUUUAAUCACAAAAGUCAUUAUUUCUCAAUAAAUAAGAGCACAAACUCUAAUAAUAAAAUUCCACAAGAAUGACAUCAACAAGUAAAUUGAAAGAAAAAAAAUAAAAAAUUAGUAGUAUUAAUCGUAUUGCAACACAAAUUCUAACAAUUUUCAUACAAAUUAAAGUAAGAUAAGACAACCCAAUUCAAGUAUCAAAGCAAUUCAUCAUAAUCAUUCUCAUCUGGAGUACUUUAAUCAAGAGCUUUCAUGAUCAACCGAGUUGCUCGAUCACCAACAAACAAAUAACAAAAAAAAAAAUUAUAAUGUUGAAUAAUUAUAAAGGUGAGUAAAUUUGGACAGGAACAUACCAAAAUCAUGAGCAUAACAUCGAUACAAAACAGUCGCCUUCGUGUUACACUUAAAUCAAAUUAUAUAUUAAAUAAAAAUAAAGUAAAAAAAUCUAGUGAUAAAUAAAUAUAUAAAUUUUUUUACUUGUUAUGAUAAACAAUUACCUGACAUCAUGGCUUUAAAAUUUUUUUUCAUAUAAUUAAAACACAAACAAUAUCAAAUUCAAAACAAACAGUCAGAUAAAUUAAAAUUUUCCUUUCUUUUUUUGGCAUUUAAGAGGUUCAGAGUAUGAAACUGCUUCAUCAAUCAGGAAUUUUCUGAAGCAGAACUGGCAAAUAAGCUGUAUAUUUUCCUCCGUGACUAGCCUAGGUUCCGGAGAGUCUAAUGCUGUCGAAAACCAACUAGAGGAGAAUUAAAGCAGAACGGGCAUACAAGCAGGAAUGAAUUCAUUUUCAUUUGUUUUGUUUAAUUUAUUUUCGCUUUUGAGUUUUGGGAAGGUAAACCAUAUCCAAAAGAUAAUGAAGUAGUUUCUUACAUAAAACACAAAUCUAACCCAUUUUUAUUAUUUACCCAACCCAAAACAAAUUUAUUUUGGUGUCGCAGUCUACAGUCUACUUAGAAAGUAAUUUUAAGUCUAAAAUUAGUUGUAAAUAUCUAGUUUUAAGACGAUUUUGCAGGAGUGUAAAUCCCCCCCCCCCCCCCCCCUUUUUUUUUUUUUUUUUUUUUUUUAAACCCCCCCCCCCCCCUUUUUUUUUUCUUUUUUUAAGAUAAUCAUGUUCUUUUCUUAAUACGAAUAAUAUAAAAAAUUCUAACAUCUAUAUUCUAAUCUACAUUCCCGGACAUUCAUCUAUACAACAGUAAUGUUUUUUUUUUUUUUUUUUCUGACUAAAUAGAAUUCCUGACGUUAGGAUAUCAAAGUGGGGUUAACGAAAAAGAAAACAGAACGAACUUCGUGGAAAUUAAUGACAACGACUAGCUACCUCUGCAAUCGCCAAUCAGGUUUAGUGGCACCAAGAUUCAACCCCCAAUUGAGCAUACAAGGCAGAAUAUUGGCUUGUGUUCUUGAUGGAUUUGGAAAUGUGUUCCGGGUCCGGACCCGGUAACAACAGUCACAGAAAGCACUAGAAUGUGUCACGGCCAGGACCAGUUCCAGAACCAUCAGAAGAGAAAAUUGGACCACAUCACAAGCCGAAAAGGUAACCAUUAAACCAAACCAAAAGUCGGGAGAUCAUUACAUUCAUUUAUGCAAAACACGAUCAUACCGGGAGUUGACAUGUACAUGAUACUUCUUAUCAGACAAGGAAGUUGAAACUAGUUUGUACUUUACUAGUAUUAUAUCAUACAUAUUACUACUGAGCAGUAGCUUUCUUGGCUUUCUUAGCAGCAGAGGACUUGAUGGAUUUGGGCUGCUUUGGUUUGGCAGCAGCCGAUUUCUUUGCCUUCUUAGGCGGAGGAGGAGCGGCGGCGGCAGACUCUGCUUUGAUUUUAGCUGCAGCAGUUACGGACCUUGUUUUCCUUGGGGCCUUGGCCUUGGUCUUGAUCUCUUUUUUGGUUUUGCCAGCUGCCGCUUCAGAGAGCUUGUAAGAGGCCCUGAUCUUGAUGAGAUUUCCUUUCGCAGCGAAGUGCUUCAGCUGCACUGCCAAUAUUUUCCUGAAAUUCGCUGGGAGCUCAUCUUUGUGCUUCUCUUCCAUGUACUUGGCUAUUGCGUAUGGGCUUGAACCGCUCUUAUCUUGCAGCGCCAUCAGUGCCUCCGUUAUCAUCUGCACAAUUAAUUACAAUAAUAUCAAAAACUUCCUUCAAUGAACGUGACUUAUAAUUUAAUUUGAUUAAAUUGACAAACCUGAAAAUAAGGAGGAUGAGAGGGGGUUUUGGACUGCUUUGGCUUCUUCUCUUUAGGAGCCUUGGGCUUCUUGUCCUUAGCAGCCUUGGCCUUCUUCUCAGUGACGACCUUUUCCGGCUCCUCCGCAGCCGGCUGCUGCUCCGUCACAGCUUCACCUUCU